CUUGGCGUCCAUCCGUCGUUGGUAAUAAGCAGCAGUGAGAUCGCAAAAGAAUGCUACACAACCAAAGACUUGAGCGUACUCUCUCGCCCAAAGAUGGUGGUUGUAGAUCACGUUAGCUACAACUAUGCAAUGUUUGGGUUCGGACCACCUGGACCCUAUUGGCGAGAAAUUCGCAAGAUCGUUACCUUGGAGUUGCUCUCAGUCCGGAAGGUUGAGCUGCUCAAGCACAUUCGAGUGUCGGAAGUGACUACUUUCUUAAAGAAUUGCACGAACUUUGGAGUACAAAGAAAAAGGAGGGCUCGAAAGAUGGAGUGGUUGUAGAGCUAAAGCAAUGGCUUGGGGACAUGACGCUGAACGUUAUUCUUACAAUGGUGGCCGGAAAGCGGUAUUCGGUGGCUGCCGCUGGGGAUGAGAAGAAAGAAGCGCGUAGGGUUCAGACUGCAUUGAGGGAGUUAUUUGAUUAUCUGGGCAUGUUUUUGGUGGGUGAUGCGGUUCCUUAUCUGCGGUGGUUGGAUUGGGGUGGACAUGAGAAGGCAAUGAAGAAAAGUGCAACGGAAAUGCACGCCAUUAUUGCAGAGUGGGUUGAAGAGCAUAAGCAGAGGAGAGCAAAAGGUGAUGCAAAAGGAGAACAGGACUUCAUAGAUGCGUUGCUUUCUGUGCUUGAUGGUGCAGACCUUGGCAGUUUUGAUGCUGAUACGAUCACCAAAGCCACAAGCUUGGUACGUAUAUACAAUUCAUUAGUUUUGUAGGCAAAUAAUUAACCAUAGAAGGCUGGAGUUAGACACUAAACACAUCAAGAUUUUAUUUUUACCUUUCAAUACUUAUAAGCUAAUUGCAUGGUCUAUAAAAAGAAAAUGAAAACAUUAGGCAAGAAUUUUUUUUUUGAAAACAUAUGAUUUCCAAUUUUAUAUAUGACUCAUGCGACAUAUUUGUCUGCUCACCAAUGGAUGAUGGUAGAGAGAUUAUCUUCUUAGAUUGUAUAUGUAGACUGUAUAUGUGAUGGUUGAUGGUUAGAUUCUUUCUUUAAAUCUUUAAGAAUGAAAUUCAACUAUCAACCGUUACAUUCUUUGAUUUACAAGAUGUGAUUUAAAAAGAUAAUCUCUUUAAUAUUUUCGUCGCCUAAAGAAUGUAUAGAUGUUAAUCAAGCAAAUACUCCUUGGGCAGAAUGUUAUUGCAGGAGGUGGCGAUACCACCAUGGUGACAUUGACGUGGGCAAUAUCGUUAUUGCUGAACAACCCUCACGUUUUGAAAAAAGCUCUAAACGAACUGGACACCAAAAUAGGCAAAAAAAGAGUUGUGAGUGAGGAAGAUAUAAGCAACUUGGUCUACAUCCAAGCUAUUGUAAAGGAGACGUUACGUUUGUACCCUGUAGGACCACUAUCAGGGCCGCGUAUAUUCACUGAAGAUUGCACCAUUGCUGGCUACCACAUCCGAAAGGGCACCCGGUUGAUCCCAAACUUCUGGAAGAUCCAAACUGACCUGAAAAAUUGGCCUGAGCCAUUCGAGUUCAAGCCAGAGAGAUUUCUUACCACACACAAGGAUGUUGAUCUGAAGGGUCAACAUUUUCAGUUUAUUCCUUUUUCAAGUGGUAGAAGAUCAUGCCCUGGUUUGGCAUUUGGUCUUCAAAUGGUGCAAUUUACAUUGGCUAGUUUUCUGCAUGCAUUUGAAAUCUCAAACCCGUCGAGUGCACCAAUUGAUAUGACAGAGAGUUUUGGAAUGACUAACGUUAAGGCAGCUCCACUCAAUGUUCUCAUCAAACCUCGCUUAUCUUCUGAACUCUAUGGAUAAAAGAAGAAAAUAUAGAAUAUCAAGUGUGCGAUAUGAAUAGGAGAUUUUCGUUGUUAUUAGUUAUAUGUAAUUAUAUGUCUAUAUCUGUAAUCGUAAAAUCAAUAAAUCAACUGCCAAUGUAAGAUAAAAAACCUAGCAAUAAUGAGUGUUUGAGAAUGGGCAUAUUUAGCAAUAAAAAGUACCCCAAAAAUGCCUCUAUUUACAUUUUCAAUUGGGCUCUCUUUUGGAUCUGUUGCCUCCGGAUUUUUUGUUUUUCAAUUUGUUUGUAAAGAACCCACCCAUUCGCCAGCACAAACAGGACAAAAUAAAAUAGUCCAUUUGCGAUUAUUAUCGAAAAGUUAAUUUUGAUUAGGUUUUUCUUAUUAUUGAUUGAAAAGCUGAGAUUUUCAUUACAUUAACUUGGGUCUAAACUGUUCUGAAGUGCAAAAUUUGCAUAGCAAUGAUAUGUUUCCUGCUUAGAUCACUUUGCAUAUCAGUAAUGUGAUAUCAAGAUAUUUCUAACAUUAUUUGUAGGGCAAGAAAGAAAUCCAAAAAAACCGAAUCUGAUCCGAAAAAUUUGAGCCCAACUUGAGAAAAAUCCAACCUGAAAAUCCUGAAUUAUUCGGUAAUCGAAACCGAACAAUUUUAAAAAAUUCGGUAUAAAAAUCGGGACCAAAGCACGGUAUGUUCGAUAAUACAAAACUAAACCGAUAAUAUAUAUACAUGUAUUUGAAAUAUAUGUGGCCGUUAGAUUUGCUUGAAGUUAGAUCUCAACCGUUUAUAAAAAAAAUUAAAACUCUCUCUCAGUCUCUCUCAGAACCUCCCAAACUCUCAAUCCCUCUCCUCGACGACUCCGACCCUCUCUGUUUCUUCUCCGGUGACACCACACCGCAUAUCACACCACACCACACCACAUAGUAAUUUACACCACACUGCCACACACCUGCAAGUUCAUCUUCUCUGGCAACACUGCACCGUCAAAUUCAUCGCCCAAUCCCACCCAAUUCAUGUUUCACCUCUGCGCUUGCACAAAUCUCUCUCCCUCUCGACCCUCCACCACCCAUUCCAAUAUUAGGUAGUCGAUGACCACCUCUCUCUCUUAGUCCGCCCACAUGAUAGGAUGCUGUGUAUUGUGACACAUAAGGUUGGGAGUGCUGACUAGGACAAGAAAGAAUUAGUUGGAAUUGGUUGGCGGUUAAGGGUUGUUAGGGAGUGACUUAGGGAGGAAGCUGCUUAGUUACUAUGUAAAGGAGUAUUGUAAAAGGGAAAGUGGUUGUUGUAAAGAUUGAUAUUGUAAUGAAAUAUACUAGUUACUGUUAUACUGAGUAAGAAGCAGAGUAAGGGUUGUAUCAUUGGUAACAACUCUACGAAAACUCCUUUUCUUUCAGCCGUCGACGCAAAGCUCUGUCAAUUCUCAACCAAUUAUCUAUAUCUAUGUGCAACUCCCUUACAAAUUAUUUUUAGUGUUGUUGGUUUUCUUGGGUUUCCCCAGCCAUGUAGAAGCUCAAGAAAGAGAGUCCUAGCAGACUCAAGCCUUGCUAGCAUUUACUCCCUACAGGUCCAUAUGCUUAUGCUUUUUCCAUGUGUUCAUCCAGAUGCAUUGCUUAUUCCAAGCAGACUUAUAAAGGAAGAGGGGAUGCAAGAACCAAUGGAACAGUAAGCCAACUACUGCGGAUUGGCUCCAGAGAGGAAGUACGUAGCAGUGUAAGAGUAUAUAACUGAAUCAUUUAGAUUGUGCCAUCUGUCAUUAAUACAGUGGCUAGAUUGAAGGAUACGAUUGGGAUAUUCUAGCUAUAACAAGAUCAAGAUAGUAUAUAGCUAUGAUUCUGUAAGAAGAUUGUAAGUAGAAAAAGUAAUAAAGAAAAUAAUAUCUCUUUCUUUCUCUAAAGUCUUCUCUCCUCUCUUUUCUUCUCUCUUAAGCUUUCUUUCUUCUUGUGUUCUAUGUUAAUGGCUUCCAUUUGUUAUGGUUAACAUGGUAUCACUCGCCCCCUAAGCUUCGAUCGUAAGCUUCUUCGAUUCUGGUUUCUUAUGCUUCCGCUCCAUUCUUUUCAUCUUUGUGAAUCACUUCUCUGAUUUCUGGGUUCUAGUUCUUGCCCUUUUCGUUGAUUUUUACUCUGAAAAUCUUUGCCCACCAACUGUUUGGUUUUAUUCCUCUGAGAGAAUUAUCACUAUGGUUACUGCAACUCAACUGCAAAUCUUGCAGUCUCCAAUUACUGGGUUGAUGUCCUCUGUUUCAACUUCAGUUUCGGUUAAAUUGGACGACUCCAACUACCUUCAAUGGCAUUUCCAAAUGAAGCUGAUGCUUGAAGGCUAUGGAAUUAUGGAUUUUGUUGAUGGAACUGUAAGAGUAUGAGUAUGAGACAAACAUUUAGAGCCGGAUUGUAUAAAUCUUUGUUUGGAAAAGUCCUGUUAAUGAGCCUUUUGAUAAAUCCUAUUUGUUAUAGAAUUAUGAGAGAGUAUGGUAUACCAAUUCUAUAUGGGAUAUGACUCAGUAUCAGGAGUCUAAUUAAUUCAUAUUGUGAUAUGGUUUAGCUGUUUGAGUUCCAUAAGAAUUCUAAUAGGAGAAUACUUGGAACACUGCUAUAUAUAUGUUUAGUCACUGCUCUUACAAGUUUUUUUAACUCAUCUUGUUCCGAAUACCUAUUGUUCGGUGAGUACUUGCGUUUUGUUAAAGAGGAGAAGAUUAAACCUAUUCGAAGAGUUGCAAUGGCGUCGUCUUCAAUCUCGGGUUCUGCAGGUCAGUUGCUAUGCAAGUUUCAGUAUUUUCUCAUAAGCAUGUUUGGUCUAGAUAUAUAUCUUGUUAUUAGUUUCUGAUAAUUCAAUUGGUUAACUUGUGAUUGGUGGUAUUAGGACAUACAUAUGUUUAUAUUUGUCUUUCAUGUGGUAUCAGAGCCAAAGAAUUUCGACCAUUGAAUUAAGAAAUCUUGGCUAAAGAACAAAAGCUUAAUCUGCUCAGUUUUUGCGAACCCAUAAAUUUUUUUUUUUUGGAGAUACUUAAACGACAACGUUUGUUUAAUUAAAAAAAAUAAAAUUUUUUUUUUCCUCUUAACACCGGAGUAUUGUUUCCUGGGCUUUCGAAUUCUUCUUCUCUGGGUUAUCCGUUCUGGGUUUUUUCGGAUUUUCUUUCUUUCAGCAGAUUGCGAUGACAAAGGAGUAUUGUUACAUUUCUUUUUCAUCAUUGCCAUCUUGCUUUUGUUCAUUCGUGCAUUCAUAUAUGAAUCUUGGAAGGUAUGAAUGAUUAAUAUCCUUCUCGUCUACGUUCUUACUGAAGAAUUGAAUAUAUUUGAAUAUACAUGGUAUAAUUUCUCAUCUUGUUGUUGGUAAUUCCAUAAGUAGAUAUUGCAGUAUGCUUAAAUUGCUUCCGUUGCUAUAGAAAUUUAUAACUGCAGUUGUUUCACCAACAUUGAAAUUGCUAAAUCCAUGUGAAGAGUGAUAUUUGAAAUUCACUCUCUUGAACAUGAAUAUAUAUUGAAAUUCCCUGUGAGUUGUUUAUUCUAUAUAUGUUCUCUCAUGGGAGAUUAUGAAUAUAUAUAUAUAUAUAUAUUAUAUAUAUAUAUAUGAUUAAAUUGAUUCAUAUUUGGAUUAGGGUGAAGUGAUUGAUGGAAAUCAGGAAUCUUAUUGGAUUCAAACUGUUGAUUUCAUUGUUGUCAUUAUGCAGCUUCACUCAAAACUAUAAAUUUGGCUGCUGUGCCUAUACUCACUGGUGGAAGCAAUUAUAGGAAGUGGAGAAGAGAAAUUGAAUUGCUCCUGACACUAAAUGAGUAUGACAUAGCGCUUAACAUGCCACAACCUGCAGCUCUUAAUGAUAAGAGUACUAAAUCUGAAAAAGUGGAGUUUGAAAGAUGGACAAGAGCAAAUAAGGUUGCACUGUCCAUAUUGGAAAGUGGUAUGACAGACACUGUGCGAGGAGGCAUAAAGAAGUGUGAUCUGGCAAAAGACUAUCUCACUGCUAUUGAGAACAAAUUUAAAGAAUCUCAUAAGGCUGAAAUCGCUCAGUAUAUGACACUUCUAACAACCUACAAGUUUGAGGGAGGAUGCUCAAUUAGAGACCAUAUCAUGAAGAUGACUGAUGCAGCUGAGAAGUUGAAUUCCUUAGACAUGAAUAUAUGUGAAAAGCAACUUGUUUUCAUGAUUUUGCAAGCCUUGCCUUUGAAGUUCAGUCAACUGAAGGUUUCUUAUAACACUCAAGACAAAACCUGGACAGUGGAUGAAUUGAUUGCACAGUGCGUGCAAGAAGAAAAUAGACAGAAGCAUGACAAAGGAAAGGAAGUUGAGAUUGUCAACUUUGUACAAACAUCCAAAGGGAAGAAGGAGUUCAAUGCCAAUUCUAGGAGUGCGAAUGCUGGUAAAACUUCUAAAUUCAAUUACUCUGAUAAAUCUGUUUUAUCUGCUAAAAUAUCCAAUUCCUCUAAAUCUAACAAUUUUAAAAAGAAAGCUAAGAAUAUUGAAAAAAUCAGAUGCCAUCACUGUAAAACAAAAGGUCACUACAGAAAAGAUUGUGAAAUAUUCAAGGAAUGGCUUAGGGCAAAAGGUAGAACUGAUAUUUAUGUCUGUGAAGAGUCAAAUCUCAUUGAAAUUCCUGCAAACUCUUGGUGGUUUGAUACUGGUGCGUCUGUUCACAUAACUAACUUGUUACAAGGUUUUAAACAACAAAAACAAUCAAAUUCUUAUAAUGUCUUUGUUGGUGAAGGAACCAAAGUGUUAGUUGAAGCUGUUGGCAUUGUUCAACUCAAGUUUGAAACUGGUUUUGUGUUACAAUUAGAAAAUGUCCUCUAUGUUCCUUUAAUGAAGAGAAGCUUACUUUCUGCAUCAAAACUAGUCCAGCAAGGCAUCGUUUUCAUUGGGGAUGUAGAAUGCAUAAAAUUUUUCAAAAGAGGGUCAUUGAUUGGAAAAGCCUUUUUGCAUGACAAUUUGUGGAAAUUGCAGUGUUCAAUUGUUAAUAAUAAUCUGCAUGUUUUGAACACCACGAACAAAAGAAUGCAUAUUGACGACACUUACAUGUUAUGGCAUAAAAGGUUAGGACAUAUUUCAAAAGAAAGAGUUUUGCAGCUUUCAAAGUUAAAUCUUAUACCAGUCAUUGAUUUCAAAAAUACAUCUGAUUGUAUUGAUUGCAUGAAGGGUAAAACAACCAAUGUAAGAAAGUUAGAUGCUAAGAGGAGCCAAGCUUUACUUGAACUUAUACACACAUAUGUUUGUGGACCUUUUUCAGUUAAAACAAUUUGUGGGAAUUCAUAUUUUGUGAGCUUUAUUGAUGACUUUUCUCGACACAGUUACAUCUUCCUUAUAAAAGAAAAGUCUGCAGUCCUUGAAUGUUUCAAAAUCUUUAAAACUGAAGUGGAAAAACAGUUGAACUUAGUAAUUAAAAUUGUUAGAUCAGAUAGGGGAGGGGAAUAUUUUGGCAGGUAUACAGAAGCUGGGUAACAGAAGGGUCCUUUUGCUUACUAUCUUGAGCAACAAGGGAUUGUGGCUCAGUACACCACUCCAGGGACACCUCAGCAGAAUGGGGUUGCAGAGAGAAAAAACAGGACAUUGAUGGGCAUGGUCAGAAGUUUAAUUUCAAGAUCCAAGCUACCUGGUUUUCUCUGGGGAGAAGCUUUGAAGACUGCCAAUUACAUCUUAAAUAGGGUACCUACAAAGUCAGUAUCAAAGACACCAUUUGAGUUGUGGACUAGUAGAACACCAACCUUUAAUCACUUUCAUGUGUGGGGGUGUAAAGCAGAAGCAAGGUUCUACAACCCUCAUGAAAGAAAACUUGAUCCAAGAACUAGUUCAUGCUAUUUUAUUGGAUACCCUGAGAAAUCAAAAGGGUUUAAAUUUUUCACAUACCAGGAUAUAAGAGACUCACAAUGCAAUUUUUCUAGAAGACGAAGAUGUGUCAGAUUUGGUCCUAGACAAUUUCGAGUUUGAAGAACUGGAACAAUAGUUUGAUAGCUCAUCUUCCAUGGAUUAUAAUUAUGUCUAUGUGUUACCAAGACGUUCUACAUCAAUCACUGAUUUAGAUAAAGGAAUGCUUGGAACUGACACUGCUGAAGUUGCUACUGAAGAUCAACUUGUGGAUCAACCUAUAAAUAUUUCUCCAACAUUAGUAGACUUAUCAAAUGAUCAAAGCACAGAUCAAUUGGUUAAUCAACAGCCCUUACGGAAAUCUACUAGAUUUAAAAAACCGGCUAUUUCUGCAGAUUUUGUCUAUCUCCAAGAAUCUGAGUUUGAUAUUGGGGAUAUUGAUGAUCCUAUGACUUAUCAACAAGCCAUUCAAAGUUCUCAAGUCAUCAUAUGGCAGAAAGCUAUGGAAGAGGAGUUAGAAUCGAUGACCAAGAAUAAUGUGUGGACACUGGUGAAUUCCUCAUCCAAUAUCAAGCCUAUUGGGUGUAAAUGGGUAUACAAGACAAAACGAGAUGCUGCUGGCAGAGUUGAGAGAUAUAAGGCACGUUUAGUAGCAAAGGGGUUCAAUCAAAGGGAGGGUGUAGACUAUAAUGACACAUUCUGACCAGUUUCUUCCAAAGACUCGAUGCGGGUAAUUAUGGCCUUGACAUCACAUUUUGACCUGGAAUUACACCAGAUGGAUGUAAAAACUGCUUUCUUGAAUGGAGACUUGCAAGAAGAUAUUCACAUGAUUCAACCUCUUGGAUUUAUUGAAAGGGGGAAAGAAAAGAUGGAGUGCAAGCUUAAUAAGUCAAUCUAUGGACUUAAGUAGGCUUCAAGACAAUGGUUUCUUAAGUUUGAUCAAGUAAUCACAUCCCAUGGCUUUACUGAAAAUAAGAUGGAUGACUGCAUCUAUCUUAAGUUUAAGGGAUCGAACUUUAUCUUCCUAAUUCUAUAUGUUGAUGACAUUUUGCUUGCAAGCUCAGAUUUGCAGUUACUUGUGGAAACCAAGAAAAUUCUGAGCACCAAUUUUGAGAUGAAGGAUUUGGGAGAAGCUCAUUAUGUGCUUGGAAUUGAAAUAGUGAGGGAUAGACAGAAAAAAUUGCUUGGCUUGUCUCAGAAGGGUUACAUUGAAAGGGUCCUUAGUAGGUUUAAUAUGGAAAGCUGUAAUAAGGCAGAUGUCCCAGUAAACAAAGGUGAUAAGUUCUCUCGAGAUCAAUGUCCUAAAUCUGAGCAUGAGAUUGAAUCGAUGAAGAUGAGGCCAUAUGCUUCAUUGGUUGGAAGUCUUAUGUAUGCAAACAUAUGUACUAGGCCUGACUUGGCAUUCAUAGUUGGUUUGCUGGGCAGAUUUCAAUCAAAUCCAGGUGAAUCUCAUUGGAUAGCUGCAAAGAAAGUUUUGAGGUAUUUGCAGAGAACGAAAGAAUUCAUGCUGAUGUAUGGUAGAGAGGAUUGUCUAGAGAUCAUUGGCUAUACUGAUUUAGAUCUUGCUAGAGAUUUGGAUGAAAUGAAGUCAACUGGAGGUUAUAUUUUCAUGAUGAAAGGGGGUGCUGUUUCAUGGAAAAGUGCCAAACAGACAAUUGUGUCAACUUCUACAAUGGAAGCUGAGUUCGUAGCAUGUUUUGAGGGAAUGAAACAAGAAGUUUGGCUUAGAAAUUUUGUUGCUGAAAUGAGGAUUGUUGAUUAUGUGAAGAGGCCUUUAAGAAUGUUUUGUGACAAUUCUGCAGCAGUGUUUUUCUCAAAGAAUAACAAAAGAACGUCAGCUUCAAGAUUGAUGGAUGUGAAGUUUCUUAAAGUUAGAGAAAUGGUAAAGAAGGGGGAAAUCGAAAUUCAGUUUUUGUCAACCAACUUGAUGAUUGCAGAUCCCCUGACUAAAGCACUCCCUAAUAAUGUUUUUAAGGGACAUGUUAUUCGAAUGGGGGUGUUAGAGUCUUUUGACAAGUGGGAGUGAAUCAUAAAGGUUGCUGUUUGAUAUUUCAUUGCUCUACAUAGAUGUUGAAGUUGCGGUUCUGCAAGCUGAGUUAGUUUUAUUUUGAUUGAGUUUAAUCUCCUCAGGUAGUUUAUUGUUGGCUAUUUUCAAUAAAGGGUUUUCAGUUUUUCCAUAUGGGAUUAACUUGUACUAGAAAACAAAUUUUAUAUAUGAGAUAGUUUGGUUUGCUAGAAAAUCAUUUUGUGAUUUUGUUGAAGCAUACUUUCAGGACUAUUGAUUAUACUGUUGGUAUUGAUAAAUUUUAGUUAUCAAAUGUGAUCAUGGCUUUAUUGUGUCAAGAUUGGGUUAUAUGAGUGGGAGUAAUGUGUUUUAACAUUACUGCACAUUUUAGUUCACAUGUUUACAAAUUGCAUAUUGGGUAUGUUGUGAUUGCUGGGUUAAUUCUGUAAUGGACAGAAGAAACUCAUCAGUUCCAUGCUUUAAAAUGCUUAGGUAAGGUUGUAUGUGAUAAUGAGCUUUCGGUUAACUUGGACUUGGUGAUCACUUCCAUGAUUUAUAAGGCUGUUAGUCAUAUUUCAUACUUAAGUGGGAGAAUGUAAGAGUAUGAGUAUGAGACAAACAUUUAGAGCCGGAUUGUAUAAAUCUUUGUUUGGAAAAGUCCUGUUAAUGAGCCUUUUGAUAAAUCCUAUUUGUUAUAGAAUUAUGAGAGAGUAUGGUAUACCAAUUCUAUAUGGGAUAUGACUCAGUAUCAGGAGUCUAAUUAAUUCAUAUUGUGAUAUGGUUUAGCUGUUUGAGUUCCAUAAGAAUUCUAAUAGGAGAAUACUUGGAACACUGCUAUAUACAUGUUUAGUCACUGCUCUUACAAGUUUUUUUAACUCAUCUUGUUCCGAAUACCUAUUGUUCGGUGAGUACUUGCGUUUUGUUAAAGAGGAGAAGAUUAAACCUAUUCGAAGAGUUGCAAUGGCGUCGUCUUCAAUCUCGGGUUCUGCAGGUCAGUUGCUAUGCAAGUUUCAAUAUUUUCUCAUAAGCAUGUUUGGUCUAGAUAUAUAUCUUAUUAUUAGUUUCUGAUAAUUCAAUUGGUUAACUUGUGAUUGGUGGUAUUAGGACAUACAUAUGUUUAUAUUUGUCUUUCAGGAACAAAUCUGUGUCCAUCUCAAUUUUCUAUUGAUUCAGAAGUUACUGCUUUUGGGUCUGGUGCAAGAAUUGAAUCAGAUUUGUAUAAGGUUUGGAAGAUGCAUGAUAGGGCUCUCAUACAACUUAUCACUGCUACCUUGUCUCCUAUGGCCAUUACUUGUGCAAUUGGGAGUAGUAGUGCUAGAGAUCUAUGGGUUCGUCUUCAAGAACAGUUUUCUACAGUAAGCAAGACCUCUAUUUUCCAGUUAAAGUCUGAUAUUCAAACAAUCAAGAAAGGGGCUGAUUCUGUCUCCCAAUAUCUUCAACGCAUCAAAGAAACAAGAGACUACCUUGCUGCUGCUGGUGUUACAUUUGUCGGUGAAGAUAUUGUCAUAUUGGCAUUAAAUGGUCUACCUGUAGAAUACAAUACUUUCAGAUGUGUUAUUCGUGGCCGAGAAAAUGUGAUUUCGUUGAAGGAAUUUCGUGCCCAGUUACUUGCGGAAGAAGCUACUAUUGAAAACAAUUCAUGUGUUUCCUUUCCUACUGCAAUGAUGGUAAAGAAUCAAGCUUCUCAUUCUGGUGCUUCAUCAUCUUCAUAUCAAGGAUCUUUCUCCAAUGGGUUUCACAAUUCUAAUGGUUUUCAUGGGAACUCUGGCCAAUCUUCGUUUUAUAAUGGUGGCAACAAGUCAAAAUUUAACGGUAAAGGCAAGGCUACAUAAUCAAGGCCAUAAAUUUGGUUCGAAUCAGGGACAAAAGUUCUAUCAUUCUAAACCUAUAGUUCAUGAUUUUGCUCCUGGUAUACUUGGUAGUCAUUCUCAUGUUAACAAUGGUACUUCCUCUUCAAAUGUCAUAUGUCAAAUAUGUUAUCUACACGACCAUUCUGCUGCUACGUGUGUGUAUAGAAGUGAUGAUUCUUCGGAGAAUUGUCAAAUUUGUGACAGAAGUAAUCACACGGCCAAGACAUGUUUUACAGAAACAAAGAAAGGAAUUCUCCAUCACAAAUGACUGCUAUGAAUACUGUUUUUCCUGGUUCAAUGCAACCUCAGUAUAUGAGUGCUAUGCCUCCCAUGUUGAAUAUGGGUUCUUCUCACAUGCCUCCCAUGUCCACUAUGAACUCAGUGAACAUGGUUCCUUCCAUGAAUGCAUCUUCUUCCUAUGUUAUGCCCACUAUGUCUACUGCAAUGCCUAAUCAAGUCCAUUAUCAAGUCUGGCUAACUGAUUCUGGUACAACCAAUCACAUGACGAAUGAAUUGAGUAAUUUGUCCAUUGCUUCACCAUAUUCUCAAAAUGAUACAGUUCAAACAGCAGCUGGUGAAGGUUUGCAAGUUUCUCAUAUUGGAGAUUCUCUUUUAAGGACUUCUCUACAGCCUAUAAAACUGAAUUCAGUUCUUUAUGUUCCAAAGCUAUCUCAUAAUUUGUUGUCUGUUCAUCGCAUUUGUCUUGACAACAACUGUUGGCUAAUUUUUUAUGCUUACUGUUUUUGGAUUCAGGACAAAGUCACAGGGAGAAUCUUGUUUAAGGGACUCUGUAACAAUGGAUUGUAUCCCAUUCCUUCCUUUACUACCAUACCUCAUAUACCUCAAAAACAAGCAAAUCAAGCUGUUGCCUGUCUUGGACAUACUGUCACCUCAAACUUGUGGCAUUGCAGACUAGGUCAUCCUUCAAAUCCUAUUGUUUCUCUUACACUUAGGAAAUCUAAUGUUGCUGUUAAUAAGGAUGUGUCUUCUAUAGUUUGUCAAAGUUGUCUAGAAGGCAAAUUUAGUAAACUUCCUUUCUAUCCAGCUACUUCCAAAUAUGUAAUACCUUUUGAAGUUGUACAUAGUGACCUAUGGGGGCCUGCACCUUGUGUCUCUGUGGAUGGAUUCAAGUACUAUGUCAUAUUUGUUGACGAAUGUACUAGAUUUUGUUGGAUGUUUACUUUGAUAAAUAAAUCAGAUUUUGUCUCCAUUUUCAUUUCCUUCUAUCAGUAUGUUUUUACUCAAUUUUCAGCCAAAAUUAAGAUCUUGCAAAGUGAUGGGGGGGAGAAUAUAUUAGUAAAUCUAUUCAAUCAUUUCUUGCUCAACACGGCAUUCUUCAUCAUAAAUCUUGUCCUUAUACCCCUGAACAAAACGGGUUGGCUGAGAGAAAGCAUAAACAUAUUGUUCAAACCGCUUUCACUAUGUUACAAAAUGCAAAUUUGCCUUCUACAUUCUGGACUUUUGCUUGUCAAACAGCAGUUUACUUAAUUAACAGAAUGCCAUCUUCCGUUAUUCAUAAUAACUCUCCAUUUGAACAAUUAUAUUCUGUAAUCCCAGAUAUUCAUCAUCUUCGAGUCUUUGGUUGUUCUUGUUUCCCAUUGUUAAAACCUUAUAAUAGCAACAAGUUCCAACCUAAGUCUACUAAGUGUAUAUUUUUGGGAUAUGCCUUGACCUAUAAGGGGUACAUAUGUUAUGAUCCUAGUCAUGCGAAAAUCUAUAUAUCCAGGCAUGUUAUUUUUAACGAAAUAGAUUUUCCAUAUGCCACAAUGGUUUUCAAACCUAAGAUUUCUGUGCCACAACCAUCUCAAACUACUGUUAGCUAUUCUUCUGUGCUUCCUAAUCUUGAAAAUAUCCUGGUUACCCCUUCAACAACCUGUCCAUCAACCCAAUCAUCUAAUACUCACCCUUCUCAGCCUACUAUACAAUCUUCACCUCAACCAAUACCACAAUCCAUAAACCCACCUGCUUCUCAAUCCAUUGUUGCUCAAGAUUCUUCUGUGGUACCUGAAUAUAGCUCAGAGACCUUGCAAGUGGUUCAUGAUAUUCCCCCAAUGAAUCUACACCCUAUGCAAACACGAUCUAAAAGUGGGAUCAUAAAGAAGAAAGUUUUCUUAGCAUCUGUUCACAGUGCAGUUGAGGUUGAUUUAACAACAAUUGAACCAGCCACUUACAAGUCAGCUUUAAAAGUUCCAGUUUGGUAUAGUGCAAUGCAAGAGGAGAUUGAAGCUUUGUAUUCACAGAAUACAUGGAGUUUGGUUGAUCUGCCACCUAAUAAGAAUUUAGUUGGGUGUAAAUGGGUGUUUAAAAUAAAAAGGAAUGCUGAUGGGAGUAUUGCCAGACAUAAGGCUCGAUUGGUAGCAAAGGGGUUUAGCCAGGAACAAGGAUUGGAUUAUGGGGAAACUUUUAGUCAUGUGGUAAAGCCUACUACUGUACGAUUGGUUCUUACUCUUGCUGCACAAUUUAAUUGGCCAUUAAGACAACUUGAUGUUAAAAAUGCAUUUCUUCAUGGCAUUUUAAAUGAAGAGGUGUACAUGUCACAACCUCCCGGGUUUGAAGAUUCCAGAUAUCCUUACUUAGUGUGCAAAUUACACAAGUCUCUUUAUGGUUUAAAACAGGCUCCACGGGCUUGGAAUGAUAGAUUUACUCAGUUUUUACCUCAAUUGGGUUUCAGCAAUACUUAUUCUGACUCUUCACUGUUUGUCAAGUGUGUUGGUGCUGAAAUUGUGAUACUUUUGUUGUAUGUUGAUGAUAUAAUCAUCACUGGAAGUGCAGCUGCAACAAUUCAACAAGUUAUUGCCCAGUUAACUACAAAAUUUGAGCUUAAGGAUCUUGGUCCUUUACACUUUUUCUUGGGUAUUCAGAUCACUAGAACUGCCUCUGGUUUAUUUUUAUCUCAAGAGAAGUACAUUCAGGACUUGUUGAAGAAAACAGAAAUGUUGGAUUCCAAACCUGCAGCCACUCCUUGUUUGCCUUACAAUAGGCUUCUUAAGGAUGAUGGACAACCUUUUAACAAUCCAGCACUAUACAGAAGUAUCGUUGGGGCCUUGCAGUAUCUUGUAUUUACCAGGCCUGACAUUGCCUUUUCGGUUCAUCAAGUUAGUCAGUUUAUGCAGGUUCCAAUGAUCUCUCACUUCACUGUAGUUAAAAGAAUAUUACGAUAUCUUAAAGGUUCUCUAAAUCAUGGCAUUAGUUACAGUAGUGGAGAGUUGAUCCUAAAGGCUUUUAGUGAUGCUGACUGGGCAGGAGACCCUAAUGAUCGAAGGUCAACUACUGGCUUAGUGGUAUUUCUUGGAAAUAAUCCUAUUUCUUGGUCUUCUAAGAAGCAACAGACUGUGUCUAGGUGAUGUGAAAAAUAAGUUAACACACAAAUUAAACCCUCUUUUUGACAAUUGUAGUAUAGAUGUAAGUAGGGUAUCGUUCUAGGCCGGGGAUUAGGAGGGAUUGCUAAUCUAUUCUAAAUUAAUUUAAAAAUAUUAAAUAAGACUCAAGGACACAAAACUAGGCUAAAAACUCUAAUAACUCGAAACACACUUAAAAUGACUCAAAAUAAUGAAAACAAUCAAAUUAAACACUAGGAACUGAAAUGGACGGAAAUUAAAUUAAAAGACUAACAAUAAAGAAAACUAACUAAAUAAUAUAAUUUAAUAAUGGAUGGGUGUUUGGUUUUGAUGAAAAGUAAAUUAAACUUAAUUAAAUUACAGAAUUGACAAAAACAUAAAAUUAAGGUAAAAUGAUAAAUGACGGACUAGCUAGAGGGUUCUUCUCCACACAUGACACAUAAGCAACCUAAAUUGAUUUUCAGUUGUUCUUUCAAUAAAUUGUGAAUUUCAAUACUCCAGAUUAACCGUGAACAGCACUAAUUAACCCUCAGUUUUUCCACAAGUUAUUGGGUUGGAUGAUUGCAUACGACAACCUAAAACAUUCCCUACAAGUUCCCUACAUGAAUUGCAUAAUAGAGAUACAAGCAAGAAUCAUUAAGUUCUAUGAAAAACAUAAGCAUUGACGAGCCACUCGUUACUAUGAUUUGCAUGAAACUUAUGCCAAGAAUUUACUUAACGUGAUUGUGACUAGCAACCUUCACUACUUGUGAAUAUAAGUUCAUAACGAUUAGGUGAAAUUCACUUAUAUUCUAGCAUCAAAUUCAUGCAUGUAAAUUAAGUAUGCAUCCUUAAUCGAAAUACAAAAAUAAGUUAUCUAUCAAGCAGUUAAGCAAAUUAAAUCACAACUCAGAAAUCACAACUGAAGGUAAUCAAUUUAUAUUACAAAUAUAUUCAUGGCUUUGAAUUAACCUCUAGCCAAAAUAAAUUUAAUUACACAUUAUUAAAACAGAAAUAAAAUAAAAGUUUGGAAAGAUUAAACCGAAAGAGGAGAGUGCUUGCUGCUUCUGUCUAUCUUCCUCCCCGUUCCGCGUCUUCUCGCCCCCCAUGCUCAAGCUGCCAAGUGGCAGCUUUCCUCUUCUGUCCGUGUGGCUGUCUGUGUGGACUCCCUCGGUUUCUCUCUCCACGCAGCUCAGCUGCUUCUGUUCCUGUCCUUCUCACGCUGCCCAAAGGCAGCCUUCUCCUUUCACUCACGCUGCCAAGGGCAGCUCUCUCCCGUGCCCCCUGCUGCACGCUGCCAAAGGCAGCUCUCUGCCUUCCACCAAUAUCCCCUUACUACUAGUCACGCCCUCCUUCUUUUAUAUCUUCUCUGCGCUAUCCCUCUCUGUCCCUUUAUUACUUUUUUUUUAAUUUUAUUUUCUUUUCAAGCUGUCAGUCUCUCCACUCCACCUUAUUCUUCUAUUUUUCUUUGCUUUUAUUAUCUGCCAUGCCUCUUUGUACCACUGACUGCAUCAUGAUGUUGAGCAAUUGCUAAAGCAUCUGCCAACGAGUCCCUGUUCUGCCUUCUUGUUUCUGUCGGUCUCCCCUUAUAUUUUUCUUCUUUCCGUCUGUCAGUCCAUGUGCCUUCUUUUCAAGGUAUAAGCUGGAAAGUAUUUUUGGCAACAAGAUUCUUUUGUGCUAUUUUUAUUUUCUUUGCAUAACAAAUCCUAGAAACACAAAAAUAACGUAAAUAUCUCAAAAAUAUAAGGAACUAACUAAGAAAAGACGAGUGAAUUCGAAGUAAAAAUAUAUAUAAAUAUGAUCCGAUCACUAGGUCGUCAACUGAGGCAGAGUACAGGGCGUUGUCAUCCACUGCUGCCGAGUUAGAUUGGGUGCAGCAACUUCUUACUUUUUUGAAAAUCAAACUCGAGUAUACUCCUGUUUUGUUUUGUGAUAAUAUGUCUGCCAUUGCACUAUCCUUUAAUCCUGUGCAACAUCAACGGACAAAACACAUUGAAGUGGAUGUUCAUUUUGUCCGCGAAAGAGUGGCCAACAAGAAACUCCUUGUGCAGUUUGUUUCCUCCUCAGAACAGUUUGCUGAUAUACUCACUAAAGGUCUUAGUUCACCAUUGUUUACUACUCAUUGCUCCAACCUCAUGCUUGGGUCAUCCCAACCUGAGCUUGAGGGGGGAUGUAAGAGUAUAUAACUGAAUCAUUUAGAUUGUGCCAUCUGUCAUUAAUACAGUGGCUAGAUUGAAGGAUACGAUUGGGAUAUUCUAGCUAUAACAAGAUCAAGAUAGUAUAUAGCUAUGAUUCUGUAAGAAGAUUGUAAGUAGAAAAAGUAAUAAAGAAAAUAAUAUCUCUUUCUUUCUCUAAAGUCUUCUCUCGUCUCUUUUCUUCUCUCUUAAGCUUUCUUUCUUCUUGUGUUCUAUGUUAAUGGCUUCCAUCUGAUAUGGUUAACAAGCAGAACACAGAUUAUCCAAGAGGGUUCGAGUCAGAUUGUUGCUUACGGGAGAGGAGGUAAGAGCUCAUAACUAAUGGGAGAUUUCUCCAUGGCAUUGGCUUUUGCACUCGAAAAUGAAGGAAAGCUCGGGAGGACGGAUGCCUAGCACAAGUUCAAUGCUUUAAAUGAAGUUUAUAAAAUUAAUGAUUUAAGUUUUUAUGAUGAAAAUACAUUAUUCAAAAAAGGUGAAAUAUGUUCAUUACCCUGAGUGAAGAAUGCAUGUAUGGAAGGAUUCUACUAUAAAAAUAGGCGUGGGCAUAGAAACCAUAGAACCGUGAAACCGAAUCGAACCACGCCAAAAUGGACCGUAAAAUACCGUGUUAAUAAAAAAAAGUCAACUUAGGUUCAAGAACCGGACCAAACCGUUCAUACUAGUUUCGGUUUUGGUUUUCAUCUUGAAAGAAUCGGGCAAACUGAAUAUCAUCUCCUUUGGAUCCCAAUUUUAAUAUCAUCUCCAUGCUUCAUUAGCCCAUACUGCUCCCAAAAGAAUAUUCGUCGUUAAAAGGAUAAACUCUAGACUAAUAAUACAAUAACUGUAACGAUUCAAUUAUUGAAUCAAUUGAUAUCCUUAAUGAUUUUUAGGCGAAAUUAAAAUCGUGUUUCAAAGUUUUGACCUUGAGUAAGGACAUAUUGGUCACUACAUUUUGGAAAAGGAUUCUCGUCGGAUCCUUUUUUUGGGGAUCUGAGGGAUCCCGUGAUCAUGAUUGUUCAUCGUACAUCGUGUGGUUAUAAAUCAUUUUAGAUUUUAAAUUUUAAAUUAAAUAUAAAUAGUACCUACCGAAAAAUGACCACACGAUAUGAACAAUCAUGAUCACAUAAUUCUCCAACUCUCCAAAAAAAGAAUCCAACGAGGAUCAUUUUCCCUAGUGUUUUCGUUAUUGAUAUGCAUUAAAGAUAACUCGUCCUCCUUCAUAGUAAUGUGGUACGAAACGGUCGACGAGCGGGCGAGGGGUGGCUGUCGAGAUGAUGGGAUGAUUGAUUUUUUGUGAGUUUAUUUGUAUUUCUUUAAUUUUUAUUAUUAUAUAAAGAAAAAGGUAAAUUACAUUUUACAUCCUUAAGUUUAGUGGGAUUACAACCUCGUACAACAUCUUUAAAACAUUUCAAUCUCAUACAUCUACUUAUCAUUUCUUUCAAUUUCAUACGUUCGUUAAAAAAUCUAUUAAGUUAACCAUUAAGUGAUGACGUGAUAAACAUAAAGUCCUUGAAAAGAAGACAAAAGGAAAAGAAAAAAAAAAGAAUAAAGCUUUAGUUAACUAAUAGCCACAUGAUCCCAUUAAAAGAUAGGCUUUUUAGUCAAAAUAGUUUUUGAGAUUUGCAUAACACAUCACUUUGGUCCUUAAGAUUUGAAAUCAAUAGAAGUGAUCUUUGAGACUGUCCACUAUCAAUCAUUUUGGUCAUUCCCUGCAAAAUUAUGCUAAAUAAGGAUCAAAACGACAAAUAUACUUUCAAUUUAAUAAACAAAGGGCAAACAUGAUUUGACAAAAUUAAGGGUAUUUUGGUCAUUCUAUUCUUAUUUAAUGGACAUUUUUCAAGGAAUGACCAAAAUGAUUGAUGAUGGACAAACCAAUUCAAUUGAUAUCAAAUAUCAUGAACCAAGGUGAGGAGUUAUUAAAUCUCAAGAACUAUUUUGGAUAAAAAGCCUAAAAGAUAUCUAUUGGCUGAGCAUGUGAUCCCUAUUUUUUACCUUCACCCGAAGAACCUAAAUAUUAUAGGAUUUAAUUUAAGUUAAGUCCAAUUUUGCAAGUCAAUAUUAAGAAUAGUCCAUUUUUCGUGAUCUUUGACAUAAGUUCAUCCCACGUCAUUUUUAUUAUCUUUUAAAUUAUUAAUCUUUAUUUCAAUUUUGCCCUCAUAUUUUAAAAGGAAAACUAAUGAAAAAGGUUUGAGAACUUUGUGUUUUAACGAUAAAGACAAAAUUCCCUAUUUUAAAUUAUCUCUAUUCCUUUUUUCAAGGAUUUUUAUUUCUCCUUUUAAAUAUCCAUUGCUAGUUUGAAUUUCUUCUUUUUGAAUUCAAAAAAGAUGGGGCAUCCCUCCAUUUGUAACCAGAGUAAGAUUCUCUCUCAUCCUAAUCUCUAUCUACUUCCAUCCCUUUCUAUUUAAACGGUUGCGAUUACGCUACGUCUAUAUCUUGUUUUGAAUUUUUCUUGGCAACUAAAAGUUCGAUCACAUCACAACUCACCUCAUGAGAGACUAUGUGUACAAAAUUGCCAGCAAAACUAGUAAAGGAACACUAUUUACAUACAAGCAACAACAACUUAAAAAAGGAACUGCAAAAGAAACAACUAGUGACGAUUACAAGAAAGACUCUGCAUUCAAAGCUACCAACAAAGUCAUCAAUUGCAUUACGAUAAAUCGUACCAACACCAUCAUGAGACAUGAAAUAAAGACUCAAGCUCAAAAAGACAAAUCUAACAUGGACAAAGCCGCCCUAUAAUCUAGAAAACCCACAUCAUAAAAAUUCAACUUCAUCUCUUGCCAAACCCACAUGGAAAGGCAUCCUCUCUGGAUCCAUUCCACCAAAUCAAUUAAUCAGAGCCCUUGAAAUUUGAUCAAAUAGCUACAAAUAUGGGCCCCUUUAAAAGUUAUAAUAACUUUAGCUGUUGGAUCAAAUUUCAAGGGUCCGAAUUAGGUGAUUGGAUGAAUUUGGUGGAAGGGAUCCGGAGAGGAUCCCUUUUCAACCCACACUACCUAAAACAACCAUAGAUGGGAGAUUUUGAGAGAACGAUUUGAUUGAAAAAGGACAAAAAAAUAAUUGAUUGAGAACUCAAAUAUAAGCAAGCUUAGGCACAGACUUAAUCACCCCAAAAGGGACUAAAAGAAUUAGUAUGUCAUUAAUGUGUGAUAAAAAAAAAUCACUUGGCGGCUUAGGCACAACAAUUUACUUUUUUAAGGACAAAAAAGACUUACAGAGGCACUUCAGCCUCCCCUUAACCAGUAUUGUGUAAAUUACACGCGUCACUAAUCUAAUCCAAAAUGUACGCGAAUAAAAUAUGAGUUUAAAAUUUAUUUUCAAUCAGUGAGUCAUCCCGUAGCGGUUAUAAAAUGACCGUUAUUCAAUGUAUAAAAAUCAUAAGUGCUAGACCAAUUCUAGUGUAGAGGUUUUUUUGUAAGAUUAUUUUCGUGGGGGCAAUGAUAUUAAAAUUAUGCACAGAUCACACAGAAGACAAUCCUAUCUUUACGUACAAGUUACAUCGAACGGAUAAGUAACGGGUCCAAACCAUCGUUGAGAAAAAAUGUGGGACUGCGCGAUUUAACUAUUUGAUCGUUCUUUAGUAAAUUGUGUAUAGACAAGAAAAUAUUAUGGGAUCAGUUUAAAUAACAAGUCUAAAGCCAUGUAGAAAGUUGUCGAAGAAAUAUCACACUUUUCACGAAUCAGCUUGAUGCUCCUUAAUUGAACAUUUGACUAAUGAGUUUAUAAUAUUAAAAAUAGCAAAUUAUAAUAUCAGACAACGUGGCAUAUGCGGGUUCAUAUGUUAUUUAUUUGGAGUAAAGAUUCUUUUUGGAUAUAAAAAAACUAAAUAUUAAAAAUAUUAUGGGAUCAGUUUAAAUAAUAAGUCUAAAGCCAUGUAGAAAGUUGUCGAAGAAAUAUCACACUUUUCACGAAUCAGCUUGAUGCUCCUUAAUUGAACAUUUGAAUAAUGAGUUUAUAAUAUUAAAAAUAGCAAAUUAUAAUAUCAGACAACGUGGCAUAUACGGGUUCAUAUGUUAAUUAUUUGGAGUAAAGAUUCUUUUCGGAUCUAAAAACACUAAAUAUUAAAAAUAGCAAAUUAUAAUAUCAGACAACGUGGCAUAUGCAGGUUCAUAUGUUAAUUAUUUGGAGUACAGAUUCUUUUCGGAUCUAAAAAAACUAAGCCUAAGGAUCAAAUGAUCUUGAUCGUUGAAAUUUGAUAUAACGGCUAUAAUUAUUAUAACUUUUAGAAGGAUCCCUUAUUUGUAGCAGUUGAAUCAAAUUUCAACGGUUUGAAUUAUUUAAUACCUAGACUCAAUUUUUUUAAAGGAAAACUAAUGAAAAGUGCUUGAAAACUUUGAGUUUUAUAGAUAUGGAUAAAAUAAAGGGCAAAGUCAAUAGUAGCAGGUUUGACUUCUAAGUGUAAAAAUGUGAUUUUUCGUUAAAGUGAACAAUACCAUAGGCUUUUCGUUAAAAUUUUUUUUUUUUUUAAAUCUAGAGAGAAUUUGUACUCAAUUAUUUGAGGGUUCUUUCAGGGUUAUCCAACAAACGUGAAAAUUGAAACAAAAGUGUUAUAUUAAGUUGCAGUGUAUCAAGCUAAUGACGGUGUGUGUGAGUGUGACCCACAAGACUCGUGUGGCACCAAGACUAUGGAGAAAAGGAAUGUUUUUGGGGCAAAACGAUAAUGGUUUGAUUAGCUUUUUUUUUUUAAAAAUUACAAACUUCAAAUAGAGUAUCCUAGAUCAAAUUCGAGUGAUCCUUAAGCAAACAGUUCCAAAACAAAAAAUAAGGCCAACUUUACCAAUCUAAUAACUAUCAUAUUGGUGGAUCUUCGAAUGUAACUAGCAUGAUAACACAUUUAGCACUCCAAAGCCAAAAGUACUUUAAUCUCGGCAACUAAAAAUUCAAUCACUUUAAAUCCGCCUCAUGAGAAACUCUACACACAAAAUUGCCAGCAAAACCAGUAAAGAGCACUGUUUACAUAUACAGGCAACGCCAACUUCAAAGAGGAACUACAAAAGAAACAAAUAGUGACUGUUACAAUAAGAACUCUGUACACAAAACUACCAACGAAGCUAUCAGUUGCAUCACGGUAAACCCUAUCAAUGCCACCAUGAGACACAAAAAGACACAAGCUCAAAAAGGCAAAUUUAACAUGGACGAAAGCCGCACUAUACCUAGACAACCCACACCAUAAAAUUUCAGCUCCAUCUCUUGCCACACCCCCACACUAUCCAAACAACUAGAGAGGGAAGAUUUUGGGAGAAAAAAUGGAUUGAAAAAGGACAAAAAAAAUAAGUGACAGAGAACUCAAAUCUAAGCAAGUUUAGACACAAACUCUGAAAUCCCGUUUCCGAAAUUUCAAUAUUUUGUACGUAUCUUGUAGUUUAAAUUUGUAUUUCGUGAUUACGAUAUCUUUAUUAGUAAAUUUUAGGAAUAUUAAUUGAUUGGUUAUCGAGUAUGAAGUUUUAUAAUCAAUCUUUAGCAUUCGUCGACCUUUUGAAGUUACAACUAGUGUUUUCAAAUAGAUCUCGAAAUCACGAACACAUAGGUGAAAACCAUUUGCGAGUCCGAAUUAUAACGGUAUGGUUAGGAACGUUCGAAGUUGUGAUACUAUAGAUUUUAGGAAUUAUUUGUAUCCCACUUUGUGGGUAAGAGGCCCAGACCGAUAUUUGGGUUAAAGGACCAAUUAGUUAGAAGAGGGAAGAGACCAAUCAGAUUUUAGAAAAGGUAGGCAGCAGCCAAUCAACAAGGGAAGAAAAGAAAAUAGGGAUUUUUCCCCUUCCAUUUCUGUUGACCGUACACCCACGACAACACCUUCGACCUGGUUCUAAUUCUGGCCAUUUCCACCAUAUUUUCAGGUGAUCUUCAACCAUCCCACACCUGCCACCUCUUCCAUUACCUCCCAUCUACCAUCUCCACCCAAUUUCGAAGGAAUUUUAAGCCCAAAAACCAUAUAAACCGUGCGGGUGCCGGGAGGUUUUUCACUGCGAUUCCGCUGUUCCAGCGAGUUUCACCACUCACCACCACCCUUAAUCAACUUCCCUUGGACCUAGGAACAAGACCCAAUCAAUUGUAGGGGCAUUGGAACACCGAGGAAGUCGCAUCGAAGAACACCCACCUUAGGGUUUUCGAGGGGUGCGAGCCAAUUUGGAGCCUUCCCGGCCAAAUUGGACUUAGCCACAGGCAGUGAUAGAGUGUGACACCUUGACUCUCAUGUUAGGGUGUAUUAACACGGACUCCAGGUGAGUGACUUUAAUAUAUGUGAUAUUGUUAUUACCCUGAAAACUCCCAUGCUAGUAUACUUUGUGUAUACAACAUGAAUUUCUAAAGUAUGUUUUAUGCUAAAUAAUUGUUUUUAUAAAGUUUACCAUCGAUCAAUUUUAUGAAUUGUUAUGUGACUUGCUUAUUGAAAUGUUUGUUAAAUUGAGGGCUAGUAGGAGACCAUGACCCUACUUGGUUAAUCCGCGAUAGGGGGUUACUAAUGGUCCCGCUUGGUUAAUCCGCGAUAGGGGACCAUAUUUUCUAAGGAUCGUGCUUGGUUAAUUCGCGAUAGGCGAUCCUUGUAUCUUUAGUAUGGCCAUACACACACUUAGGGAUGAUCAUGCUUGGUUAAUUUGAGAUAGGUGAUUAUUGACUAACAAAUGCGUUUGAGUGACUCUGCUUGGUUAAUCCGCGAUAGAAGGUCACUGCCUACUUGGUUACUACAUGGGUGGUUCUGCUUGGUUAAUCCACAAUAGGGGGCCACUUCUUGUUUGUUUACUUAUGUAGGCUUCGGCCGAACUGUGUCACUCUAACUCUAGUUUUUAGUGUUUUCAUAAACUAUAGUUUCGAGAACCUUGAGUUUUGACUUAGAAAAGCCGUUGGAUGUCUGGGUGACUCCUUCAAAGAUAUCAAAGGUUUGGUACUGAUUUCUUAUGAAUGUUUUAUAUUCGAGGUUUAUAAACUGUGAUUGAUGGUUGGUUUUAUUAUUAUUAUCACAUGCAUUGUAUUAUUGUCACUCACACGAGUUUCGCAGCUUAUCCGGGUUGUUGUUUGCUCGGUGCACGAUUCCAAUGGUGUAGGCAUUGAUCUUACAGGUGACAGGUCUGAGUAGCUUCUGAGAUGUAUGUGGAUGGGGUAGUAGUGCAGUUAUCAGAGACUUGGAGUGUUAGGUUACCUCUAUAUCCUCUCUUGUACUUUAUCUUUUGGGACUUUCUUUUGAGCACCUCGAACUUGUUCUUAGUCUAGCGAGGGUUGUACUUCUUUUUGGGAUGUACAUAUUUGUAAAUAUCUUGUGGAGAACUUAGUCACCUCCAUAUUAUUUUGGUUUAUUAGUUAAAGUAUUUCCUUCCGUAAUUUAUGCCGUAUUUGACGAACGUUAUUUCCCUUUGUCACGUGUCGACUCUCGAUGUAUGUUGGGAUCCGGGCGUCACACAAACUUAAUCACCACAAAAGGGACUAAAAUGAUUAGUAUGUCAUCAAUGUGUGAUAAAAAAUUACUUGGUAGCUUCGCCACAACAGUCUACCUUUUGAGGAUCGAUAAGACUCAUAGAGGCAUUUCAACCUCUCAUUGACCAUUAUCGUGUGAUACACAUGCGUUAAGAAUCUAACCCAAAACCAACUGUGUAUGAUAUAUGAGUAUGAAAUUCGUUUUCAAUCAGUAGGUCAUCCCUUAGCGUGGGGGCAAUGAUAUUUUUUUCAGUAGGUCAUCCCAUACUGAAAUUGUCCCCAAUGUGUAAAUAUCACGAGCGCUAGACCAAUUCCAGCGUAUAGUUGUUUAUUUGUAAGGUUAUUUUCGUGGGGGCAAUGAUAUUAAAAUUAUGCACGCAUCACACAGAAGACAAUCCCAUCUUACUUGCAUGUUGCAACGAACAGAUAAGUAAAGGGUCCAAACCGGCAUGUCAUAAAAUAAUAAAUCUUCAAAAUAAUCAAAAUUCGUUAAACGUCUAACAAAACGGGGGAUUGAGGAGUUUUAAUAUUUUGUCUUUUUUAAGAGAUAUGAAAAGGAAAGGGUAUUUUUAAGGGAAGAGGAUCCUCUCCUGAGUUCAGGAUGGAAAUCCUCCUGAUCUGAUAAGAUCAUCUGGACCGUUCAAAUUUAAUCAAACGUUUGUAAUUAUUAUAACUUUUAGAGAACCCUCCUAUUUAGAACCAUUGAAUUAAAUUUGAAUGGUCUGGAUGACCUGAUCAAGAGGAUCCCCAUCCUGAGCUCAGGAGGAUCCUCUUCCAUUUUUAAAUUUACACGUAUUAAUUAUGAUUCAAAAAUAAAAUUAAAUAUAUGAGGGUCGGUUUGGUUAACCGCACCCUAAAAAUUUUGAGAAUCAAUUGCCAAACCGAUUAAGAUCGGUACGGUUUGGUUUAGCCAUCGAAAAUAAAAAAUAAAAAAAAACCAAACCAAGCUUCAGGUGGGAUUCAAGCAGUUUAGUCGGUUUUUUUUUUAAAUGCCCAGCCGUAUGUUCUACGUAGAACCCAACGUAAUUUUUUAUCUAAAUAAUUAAGAUCCCCGUAAGCAAAUUCAUCAAUUAUACUUUGCUUUACAGAUUUUACAUUUUUCGAAUUCUUAAAAUAUUCCUAUUGCAUGUUUGAUGUACACAAUUAAUUCUAUAUGGGUUCUUAGGUUUGAUGCUCGCUAAAGGUAAAUUUGAACCCCAUUAUUACUAACUCAUUGUGAGACUUAGUCCACUCUCCACCAUUUUAAUGUAGAUAAUAUCAUUUGUUAAAAAAAAAAAAACAAUAUAUCUUUUACCUUUUAGUUAGUCAUAAUUUUUUCAUUUCUCCCCUCAACUCGGAGAUAAAGAGUUAUGUAUUUCAAUACAACCAUACGUAAUAAUCAAGCCCUUACUUCUAUAUAUACGUGUGUGUAUGACAAGGUGAUAAAUCAACUUAAGCCUUUUCCCAGUUCAGCAAAAAUCAUUUUGCCUCAAGCUUCUAAUGACAGUUGCAAAAAUGGAUUCUCUGCCUUAUGCAAACUCUAUCACUGCUGGCCUGUUCACAGUAAUCAUCGUGUUCUAUUACUUAUCUCGAAGAUGGAGAGCUUCCAAUCACGAGGGCAAAUUAUCACCACCAGAAGCCAAGGGUGGAUGGCCUAUAUUUGGUCACCUUCAUUUGUUCGGAGGCCCCACACCUCCUCACAUAACUUUGGGAGCCAUGGCGGACAAGUACGGACCCAUUUUCACUAUCCGCCUUGGCGUCCAACCGUCGUUGGUGAUAAGCAGCAGUGAGAUCGCAAAAGAAUGCUACACAACCAAUGACUUGAGCAUACUCGGUCGCCCAAAGAUGGUGGUUGCAGAUCACGUUACCUACAACUAUGCCAUGUUUGCGUUCGGACCACCUGGACCCUAUUGGCGACAAAUUCGCAAGAUCGUUACCUUGGAGUUGCUCUCAGUCCGGAAGGUUGAGCUGCUCAAGCACAUUCGAGUGUCGGAAGUGGCUACUUUCUUAAAAGAAUUGCACGACCAUUGGAGUACAAAGAAAAAGGAGGGCUCGAAAGAUGGAGUGGUUGUAGAGCUAAAGCAAUGGUUUGGGGACAUGAUGCUGAACGUUAUUCUUACAAUGGUGGCUGGAAAGCGGUUUUCGGUGGCUGCCACUGGGGAUGAGAAGAAAGAAGCGCGUAGGGUUCAGACUGCAUUGAGGGAGUUCUUUGAUUAUCUGGGCAUGUUUUUGGUGGGUGAUGCGGUUCCUUAUCUGCGGUGGUUGGAUUGGGGUGGACAUGAGAAGGCAAUGAAGAAAAGUGCAACGGAAAUGCACGCCAUUAUUGCAGAGUGGCUUGAAGAGCAUAAGCAGAGGAGAGCAAAAGGUGUUGCAAAAGGAGAAAAGGACUUCAUAGAUUCGUUGCUUUCUGUGCUUGAUGGUGCGGACCUUGGCAGUUUCGAUGCUGAUACGAUCACCAAAGCCACAAGCGUGGUACGUAUAUAUAAUUCAUUAAUUUUUGCAGGCAAAUAUUUAACCAUAAAAGGCUGGAGUUAGACACUAUUCACAUAAAGAUUUUAUUUUUACUUUUCAAUACUUAUAAGCUAAUUGCAUGGUCUAUAAAAAGAAAAUGAAAACAUUAGACGAUAAUAUUUUUUUUUUUAAAACAAAUUAUGUCCAAUUUUAUAUAUGACUCAUGUGACAUAUUUGUCGGCUCACCAAUGGGUAAUGGUAAAGAGAUUAUCUUCUUAGACUGUAUCUGUAGAUCACAUGAUGUGACGGUUAUUAGAUUCUUUCUUUAAAUCCUUAAUAAUGAAAUCCAACCAUCAAUUGUCAUAUUCUUUGAUUUACAAGAUGUGAUUUAAAAAUAUAAUCACUUUAACAUUUUUGUCGCGUAAAGAAUGUAUAAAUGUUAAUCAAGCAAAUAUUCCUUGGGCAGAAUAUUAUUGCAGGAGGUGGCGACACCACCAUGGUGCCAUUGACGUGGGCAAUAUCAUUAUUGGUGAACAACCCUCAAGUUUUGAAAAAAGCUGUAAAUGAACUGGACACCAAAAUAGGGAAACAAAGAGUUGUGAGUGAGGAAGAUAUAAGCAACUUGGUCUACAUCCAAGCUAUUGUAAAGGAGACGUUACGUUUGUACCCAGUAGGACCAUUAUCAGGGCCGCGUUUAUUCACCGAAGAUUGCACCAUUGCUGGCUACCAUAUCCCAAAGGGCACCCGGUUGAUCCCGAACUUCUGGAAGAUCCAAACUGACCCGAAAAAUUGGCCUGAGCCAUUCGAGUUCAAGCCAGAGAGAUUUCUUACCACACACAAGGAUGUUGAUCUGAAGGGUCGGCAUUUUCAGUUUCUUCCUUUUUCAAGUGGUAGAAGAUCAUGUCCUGGUUUGGCAUUUGGUCUUCAACUGGUGCAAUUUACAUUGGCUAGUUUUCUGCAUGCGUUUGAAAUCUCAAAUCCGUCGAGUGCACCAAUUGAUAUGACAGAGAGUUUUGGAAUAACCAACGUUAAGGCAACUCCACUUAAUGUUCUCAUCAAACCUCGCUUAUCUUUUGAACUUUAUGGAUAAAAGAAGAAAAUACAGAAUAUUAUGUGUACGAUAUGAAUAAGAGAUUUUCGUUGUUAUUAGUUAUGUAUAAUUAUGUGUCCAUCUUUGUAAUCGUAAAAUCAAUAAAUCAAGGCUUUUUAUGUUAGCACCCCACAAAAUGUUGAAUACACUCCACAUUAAAAUUUAAUAUUAAUGACUUAUUUACUCUGCUAUGUAAUAACAAUUUUGACCUUAUUAGGUUUAAAAAAUAAUAAAAAAUUUAUAAAUACACCCCAAAUUACUUUUAACGUAUUAUUUAUCUAUUUCAACUAUCAAAACCCCUCUCAUUCUCCAUUGUUGAAUAAAACCCUAAACAAUGAAACUACAAACAUGUUGAUUGAGAAAAAUAAUUUUUGACGAAUGGAACACAAAAUCGAUGUUUCGAAAGCUUUGAAAUCAUUAUUAUUGUUAUUGAAAAACAUUCAAAUGAACCUAAACAUUUUUUGAAAUCAUUCAGCAAACUAAUGUUUAGAUAGUUUGAAAUCAUUUGGCAAAAUAAAAAAUGAGUGUUAUAAGAUUUGAGAAAUGUGGGGUGUGUGUAGAAAAUAUAAGGUGUAUAUUAAGAAUGUGGGGUGUGAGAGUAUUAUGGGAAAGAAAGUGGAGUGUAUUAACAUAAUUUUUAAUUGAAAAAGUAAAUAUGGGAUAUAUUAAGUAUGUGAGGUUUAUUCAACAAUUUGUGGGGUGCUAAUAUAAUAAGCCUAUAUCAACUGCCAAUGUAAGAUACAAAACCUAGCAAUAAUGGGUGUUUGAGAAUGGGUAUAUUUAGCAAUAAAAAAGUACCCCCAAAAAAGCCUCUAUUUACAUUUUCCAUUGGGCUAUCUUUUGGGUCUGUUGCCUCCGGAUUUUUUUAUUUUCAAUUUGCUUGUAAAGAACCCACCCAUUUGCCAGCACAAACAGGACAAAUUAAAAUAGUCUGUGGAAAUAAAGAUGAGAAUUAAGUGGGAGUAAUGGGCAUAAAGGUUACCUCAAGAUUUACAAUUGUUUUACCAUUUCCUCUAACUUAUUGUCAUCGCUAAAUGGCUGUUAGUAGGGUGAGUUAUAGAGAAGAAACUGGGGCAGCAAGCAAGAACAAAAAGGCUGCAGGUUGCAGCGGCAAAGAUAAGGGAAAAAAAACUGAAAAAAAAAUGGAAAGGUGCAGCUGACGAAAAUGGGAAGGAAGAAAGCAAGGCAGCAAAAAGUUGGACGAGGAAGAGGGAAGCAAUAGAGGAAGGAGGAAAUCUUGGCAUUCUUUUCUUUCGGUUUUAUCUUCUCAAACUCAUGUCUUUCUUUUGGUUUUAUUUGAGAAUUAUGUGUAACUAAUUUUUAGUAGUUAUGGGCUAUUUUGAAGCCCCAAAUAUGAUUGCAAGUUUGUUAUGACAUUUUGUUGAAUUACUUUUAUAAAUUGAAGAAAAUUGGUUUACUACUUGUCUCAUUGAUGAAUUAUUUAUGUGUUUUCUACGGAUGCAUACUUAGUAAGCAUAUCUAGGAUUCUAAUGCUAUGAAUAUGUGUGUACCUGCCAUUGUCGAAUGAGGACCUACAUAUGUUCUAGAAUAGUACUUGUUAAUUGCGUUUAACAUGUGAACCAAUUUCUAGGAUAAGUAAGACAACGCUAAUACUUACGAUACCUUGUGAUGACUUAAACUCUUUUCGUUCUUAAUGAUUUCUACUUGUUAAAUAUAUGAACAUGCCAUUCUAGAUUGCAUGCUAGAGACUAAGUUAAGUUGAAAACGUCAUUCACUUAACAUACUACAUAAGAAAGAGUAAUAACAUACUACAUAAGAAAGAGUAAUAGGUUGAGUUCUAACAUUGAGCCAACUUGAGCAUCUUCAUCCGGAAAUAAAAUGAAUUUGAAUGAAACAUAACAUGUUUGCAUGAUUAUUUUGUGGUGGAUAGCAAUUCCCCUAACUCGUUUUUCUUAAUUUGUGAACUACUUAAAAUUUGUUUAUGUCCUGUUUUUGUUCGAUUUAAUUUUAAAAGAAAAUCAACUCCAAAAAUUUGUGUGAGUGUAGCUCUGUGUGUCUAGUGUCUUCAUAUAAAAUUUCGUAGACUUUAGAUAAGUGUAAGUUGGUCUAAUAAUUAUUUUCCGGUGGCUGGUCAGUAGGGACAGCAGCCCAGUUUUUGUGACAUUUUAAGUAGUUAGAUAAAACAAUCUUCUGCAGGAAAUACUCUUAUUUUCAUAUACUACAAUUGACAAUUCUUAGUUUUAAUAAGGAAAAUCAAUAAGAUAUUUAUGUGCUAUUUUGUGAUGUGCUUUUAAUCCUAUCAGGUACCAUAACAGGAGGGCAGACAAUCUGCCUCCCAAUUCUAGUGUAGAGUUAUUUUUGUAAGAUUAUUUUCAUGGGGGCGAUGAUAUUAAAAUCAUGCACAGAUCACACAGAAGGCAAUCCUAUCUUUACUUGCAAGUUGCAUCGAACAGAUAAGUAAAGGGUCCAAACCAGCCAUGUCAUAAAUAAUCAAGUUCUUCAGAAUAAUCAAGAGUUGUCGAGAAAAAUGUGGGACUGCGCGAUUUAACUAUGCAAUGUGAUAUUCACAUACUUUAUUUUAUUUCUUACACAUUUUUCUAAUUUUUUACUGUCGGAUCGGAUUAAUUGAAGAAGAUCAACAGAUAAAAAUUAACAAAAAAUAUGUGAAAAGUAAUUUGAAAUGUGUGAAUAACAUAUCUCUUAACUAUUUUAUCGUUCUUUACUAAAUUGUAUAUAGACAAGAAAAUAUUAUGGGAUAUAAAUAAUAAGUCUAAAGCCGUGUAGAAAGUAGUCGAAGAAAUAUCACACUUUUCACGAAUCAGCCUGAUGCUCCUUAAUUCAACAUUUGACUAAUGAGUUUAUAAUAUUAAAAAUAGCAAAUUAUAAUAUCAGACAAUGUGGCAUAUGCGGGUUCAUAUGUUAAUUAGUUGAAGUAUAGAUCCUCUUUGGAUCUAAAAAAACAGAGUCUAAGAAUUAAAUGAUCCGGAUCGUUGAAAUUUGAUCUAACUGCUACAAUUAUUAUAACUUUUAGAAUGAUCCUUUGUUUGUAGCCGUUGAAUCAAAUUUCAAAGGCCUGUAUCAUUUAAUUCAACGACCUGAAUCAUUUAAUCCUUAUACUCAGUUUUUUUAAAUCCAGAAAGAAUUUGCACUCAAUUAUUUGAGGGUUCUUUCAGGGAGAUCCAACAACAUGAAAAUUGAAACAAAGGUGUUAGAUUAAGUUGCAGUGUAUCAAGCUAAUGACAGUGUGUGUGAGCGUGACCCACAAGACUCAUUAUUUUAUGAAUUCUGAUCCUCUGCAUGUUUUUUCCCUACCACACUAUUUCGUUGAGGAGAAGUGAUAAGGGGCUCCCUCAUUCGAACCACCAACUCUGUUUUGGUAUACAUUUUCCACGGGAUCAAACGUACGUUAUUGCCUCAAUGCCUCAUGUGGUACCAAGACUAUGGAGAAAAGGAAUUUUUUGAGGCAAAACGAUAAUGGUUUGAUUGGCAUUUUUUUUUUAAAAGUACAAACUUCAAAUAGAGUAUCCUAGAUCAAAUUCGAGAGUGAUCCUUAAAUAAACAGUUCCAAAAAAAAAAUAAGGCCAGCUUGACCAAUCUAAUAGCUACCAUAUCGGCGGAUCUUCGAGUGUGAUAACACAUCUAGCACUCCAAAGUCAAAAAUAAUUUAAUCUCGACAACUAAAAAUUCAAUCACAUCAAAUCUACCUCAUGAGAAACUCUACACACAAAAUUGCUAGCAAAACCAGUAAAGAGCACUGUUUUCAUAUACAAGCAACACCAACUUCAAAGAGGAGCAAAAGAAACAAAUAGUGACCGUUAUAAUAAGAACUCUACACGCAAAACUACCAACGAAGCUAUUAGUUGUACCACGGUAAACCCCAUCAACGCCAUCAUGAGACAUAAAAGAAAGACACAAGCUCAAAAAGGCAAAUUUAACAUGGACGAAAGCCGCACUAUACCUAGACAACCCACACCAUAAAAAUUCAGCCUCAUCUCUUGCCACACCCCCACACUAUCCAAACAACCAUAGAGGGAAGAUUUUGUGAGAAAAAAUGGAUUGAAAAAGGACAAAAAAAUAAGUCACAGAGAACUCAAAUCUAAGCAAGUUUAGAUACAAACUUAAUCACCACAAAAGGGACUAAAAUUAUUAGUAUGUCAUCAAUGUGUGAUAAAAAAUUACUUGGUAGCUUCGCUACAACAGUCUACUUUUUAGGGAUAAAAAAGACUCACAGAUGCAUUUCAACCUCUCAUUUACUAUUAUCGUGUGAUACACAUGCGUUAAGAAUCUAACUCAAAACAUACCGUGUAAGAUAUAUGAGUAUAAAAUUUGUUUUCAAUCAGUAGGUCAUCCCUUAGCGUGGGGGCAAUGAUAUUUUUUCAGUAGGUCAUCCCUUACUGGAAUUGUCCCCAAUGUAUAAAAAUCACGAGCGCUAGACCAAUUCCAAUGUAUAGAUUUUUUUUGUAAGGUUAUUUUCGUGGGGGCAUACGUCACACAGAAGACAAUCCCAUCUUACUUGCAUGUUGCAACGAACAGAUAAGUAAAGGGUCCAAACCGGCAUGUCAUAAAAUAAUAAAUCUUCAAAAUAAUGAAAAUUCGUUAAACGUCUAGAAAAACGGGGGAUUGAGCAGUUUUACUAUUUUGUCAUCCUCAAUUAAAUUGUCCUUUUUAAGAGUUAUGAAAAGGAAAGGGUAUUUUUAAGGGAAGAGGAUCCUCUCCUGAGCUCAGGAUGGGGAUCCUCCUGAUCAGGUUAUUCGGACUGUUUAAAUUUAAUCCAACGAUUCUAAACAGGAGGGUCUUCUAAAAGUUAUAAUAAUUGCGAUCGUUGAAUUAAAUUUGAACGGUCUGGUUGGCCUGGUUAGAAGAAUCCUCAUCCUGAGCUCAGGAGAGGAUACCGAUUGCCAAACUGAUUAAGGUCGAUGCAGUUUGGUUUAGCCACCGUAAAUUAAAAAAAAAAAAAAAAAAAAAACCAAACCAGGCUUUAGGUGGGAUUCAAGCGGUUUAGUCGGUUUUUUUUUUUUUUUUAAAUGCCCAGCCCUAUGUUCUACAUAGAACCCAACAUAAUUUUUUUCUCUUAAUAAUUAAGAUCCAUAUAAGCAAAUUCAUCAAUUAUACUUUACUUUACAGAUUUUACAUUUUUCGAAUUCUUAAAAUAUUCAUAUUGCAUGUUUGAUUUACACAAUUAAUUAUACGUGGGUUCUUAGGUUUGAUUCUUACUAAAGGUAAAUUUAAACCUCAUUAUUACUAACUCAUUGUGAGACUUAGCUCACUCUCCAUCCCUUUAAUAUAGAUAAUAUCAUUUGUUAAAAAAAAAUAACAAUCUAUCUUUUACCUUUUAGUUAGUCAUAAUUUUUUCAUUUCUCCUCUCAACUGGAGAUCAAGAGUUAUGUAUUUCAAUACAACCAUACGUAAUAAUCGGACCCUUACUCCUAUAUAUACGUGUGUGUAUGACAAGGCGAUAAAUCAACUUAAGCCUUUACCCAGUUCGGUAAAAAGCAUUUUGCGUCUAGCUUUCUCAUGAUAGUUGCAAAAAUGGAUUCUCUCCCUUAUGCAAACUCUAUCACUGCUGGCCUGUUCACAGUAAUCAUCGUGUUCUAUUACUUAUCUCGAAGAUGGAGAGCUGCCAAUCACAAGGGCAAAUUAUCACCACCAGAAGUCAAGGGUGGAUGGCCUAUAUUUGGUCACCUUCAUUUGUUAGGAGGCUCCACACCUCCUCACAUAACUUUGGGAGCCAUGGCGGACAAGUACGGACCCAUUUUCACUAUCCGCCUUGGCGUCCAACCGUCGUUGGUGAUAAGCAGCAGUGAGAUCGCAAAAGAAUGCUACACAACCAAUGACUUGAGCAUACUCUCUCGCCCAAAGAUGGUGGUUGUAGAUCACGUUAGCUACAACUAUGCCAUGUUUGCGUUCGGACCACCUGGACCCUAUUGGCGAGAAAUUCGCAAGAUCGUUACCUUGGAAUUGCUCUCAGUCCGGAAGGUUGAGCUGCUCAAGCACAUUCGAGUGUCGGAAGUAGCUACUUUCUUAAAAGAAUUGCACGAACUUUGGAGUACAAAGAAAAAGGAGGGCUCGAAAGAUGGAGUGGUUGUAGAGCUAAAGCAAUGGUUUGCGGACAUGAUGCUGAACGUUAUUCUUACAAUGGUGGCUGGAAAGCGGUUUUCGGUGGCUGCUGCUGGGGAUGAGAAGAAAGAAGCGCGUAGGGUUCAGACUGCAUUGAGGGAGUUAUUUGAUUAUCUGGGCAUGUUUUUGGUGGGUGAUGCGGUUCCUUAUCUGCGGUGGUUGGAUUGGGGUGGACAUGAGAAGGCAAUGAAGAAAAGUGCAACGGAAAUGCACGCCAUUAUUGCAGAGUGGGUUGUAGAGCAUAAGCAGAGGAGAGCAAAAGGUGAUGCAAAAGGAGAACAGGACUUCAUAGAUGCGUUGCUUUCUGUGCUUAAUGGUGCAGACCUUGGCAGUUUUGAUGCUGAUACGAUCACCCAAGCCACAAGCUUGGUACGUAUAUAUAAUUUAUUAAAUUUGCAGGCAAAUAAUUAACCAUAAAAGGCUGGAGGUAGACACUAAACACAUCAAGAUUUUAUUUUUACUUUUCAAUACUUAUAAGCUAGUUGCAUGGUCUAUAAAAAGAAAAUGAAAACAUUAGGCAAUAAUUUUUUUUUUUUUGAAAACAUAUGUCCACUUUUAUACAUGACUCAUCCGACAUAUUUGUCUGCUCAUCAAUGGAUGAUGGUAGAGAAAUUAUCUUGUUAGAUUGUAUCUGUAGAGCAUAUGAUGUGACGGUUGAUGGUUAGAUUCUUUUUUUAAAUCUUUAAGAAUGAAAUUCAACUAUUAUUGCAGGAGGUACUGUUACAUUCUUUGAUUUACAAGAUGUAAUUUAAAAAGAUAAUCUCUUUAACAUUUUCGUCAAGAAUGUGUAAAUGUUAAUCAAGCAAAUAUUCCUUGGGCAGGCUAUUAUUGCAGGAGGUGCCGAUACCACCACGGUGGCAGUGACGUGGGCAAUAUCGUUAUUGCUGAACAACCCUCACGUUAUGAAAAAAGCUCUAAACGAACUGGACACCAAAAUAGGCAGACAAAGAGUUGUGAGUGAUGAAGAUAUAAGCAACUUGGUCUACAUCCAAGCUAUUGUAAAGGAGACGUUACGUUUGUACCCAGGAGGACCAUUAUCAGGGCCGCGUAUAUUCACCGAAGAUUGCACCAUUGCUGGCUACCAUAUUCGAAAGGGCACCCGGUUCAUCCCAAACUUCUGGAAGAUCCAAACUGACCCGCAAAAUUGGCCUGAGCCAUUCGAGUUCAAGCCAGAGAGAUUUCUUACCACACACAAGGAUGUUGAUCUGAAGGGUCAGCAUUUUCAGUUUCUUCCUUUUUCAAGUGGUAGAAGAGCAUGCCCUGGUUUGGCAUUUGGUCUUCAACUGGUGCAAUUUACAUUGGCUAGUUUUCUGCAUGCGUUUGAAAUCUCAAACCCGUCGAGUGCACCAAUUGAUAUGACAGAGAGUUUUGGAAUGACCAACCUUAAAGCAGCUCCGCUCAAUGUUCUCAUUAAACCUCGUUUAUCUUCUAAACUCUAUGGAUAAAAGAAAAAAAUAUAGAAUAUUAUGUGUGCAAUAUGAAUAAGAGGUCUUCGUUGUUAUUAGUUAUGUAUAAUUAUGUGUCCAUCUUUGUAAUAGUAAAAUCAAUAAAUCAACUGCCAAUGCAAGAUACAAAACCUAGCAACAAUGAGUGUUUGAGAAUUGGCAUAUUUAGCAAUAUAAAGGUACCCCAAAAAAGCCUCUAUUUACAUUUUCAAUUGGGCUAUCUUUUGGGUCUGUUGCCUCCGGAUAUUUUUGUUUUUCAAUUUGUUUGUAAAGAACCCACCCAUUUGCCAGUACACAAACAGGACAAAUUAAAAUAGUCCAUCUGCGAUUAUUAUCACAAAGCUAAUUUUGAUUAGGUUUUUCUUAUUAUUGAUUGAAAAACCAAGAGAUUUUCAUUACAUUAAGAGCUGGUUUGGUAUUACUGUGCUUUGAAAAAAAACUGCUUCUGCUGUGUUGUGAGAAUAAGCGGAUGUGAAAUAAAGCUGUAGAGUGUUUGGUAAACUUUUUUGUAAAAAUGCUUUUGAAAAAAAAAAACAGUAUUAUAGUGUUUGAUAAACUUUUAUGUAAAAUAGAUGUGAAAAAAAAGCUGGGUUUUCAAAGCUGGGUUUUGCAGCUUCUUGUUUUUGGUUUUUUUUCACCCAAAACUGUGAAAAAAAGCUGAAGCUGAAUGUUUACCAAACACAAAAAAGCUCCCAACUUUUUUUCAUACCAGCUUUUUUUUAAUCACCUCAAUCCCAAACUGCACCUAACUUGGGUCUAAACUGCUCUGAAGUGCAAAAUUUGCAUUGCAAUGAUAAGUUUACUGCUUACAUCACUUUGCAUAUCAGUAAUGUGAUAUCAAAAUGUGAUAUUUCUAGCAUUAUUUGUAGGGCAAAAAAGAAAUCCAAGAAAACCGCAUUCGAUCCGAAAAAUUUAAGCCAAACCUGAAAAUUCCAAAUUAUUUGGUUAUUGAAACCAAACAAUUCUUAAAACUUCGGUAUAAAAAUUUAUAUGUACUAAAGCUCAGCAGAUUAGCAUUGUUCACCAUGUGAGAGCGAGCACUGUUCACCAGCCGUUAAAAGGGAGGAAAUGCCCACGGUUUUUGCUUUGGUUCCUAUACUGUUUACACUUUGCUACAGGAAAAAGUUAGUUUUGUCCUUCCCGGCCUUGCGUCUGUUAUCAGCAAGCGAAUCAGGUUCGUCUCUCGCUCUCUCUCUCUCACAUUUUUUUUUUCAAAUUGGGACGUGCUGUCUUCUCCUUUUCCAUCUCCAUCUCUGCGCAACUUGCCAAAUCUCUCCUGGGAACCUUCCACCGCAUCGUUUUUGUAAUUUUGGCUUGAUCUGGAUGGCUUCAGAUCUCUGAAGCCAUUAUCUGUGAUGACACGUGGAAGACUGGGAUGAGAAGGAGAGAAGAGAAAGGAGUAAAAUGAGCAAUGGCUCCGGCCAAUGAGGGAGAAAGGAAACAAAGGAAAGGAGGGAAAGGAGAAGAAGAGAACCGGCCAACCCGGUUUCUCCACCCGACCCGCCAACUUGACCCGCUCAUAUCUCCUCCAUACGAACUCUGUUUUGGGUGAUCUUGAUGUCCAUGGAAAGCCCUUGAUGAGCCAUACAUCUAUGUAGUGUUAGAUUUCCCAAUUUCUUUCCCAUUUUUCUACUUCGAAGCCACAAAGCCCACGACUUUUUUGGCAACUUUAAUCUUUUUCCAGUGGCUCCGCGCGAGCUUCACCGUCAAUGACCACCACCAAAAGACUCCUCUCAACCCCAGGAGCAAGGCCCAAGCCUUUGAUGAGGUGACGAAGUUUGUUUUGGUGACGAAUCGACAACUACCCAAAUCGAGGGUUUCCGGUGGGUUUGAGUCAAUUUGGAGCCUUUUCCAGCCAAAUUAGACUUGACCACAGGUAUAAAGUUUGCUCUACUCUUUAAGAUCUUUAUUUAUAUAAAAUUUGAGAAUUUUUUAAAAUAGUUGAAAUUUUCCGGCUAGUCGGGGCGGCUGACCACCCCACAUGGCGACGAGUGGCCAGAAGGCCGUUGCUGUUAUUUUUAGGCUAAAUUAGAUGCCUUGAUUUCAGUUUUGAUAUUCGUAUGAUGUAGAUUGAUCGUUUGAACCUAAAUUCACUAUGAUACCUUACUUGAUCAAAAUAAUGAAUCGACGAUCCGACCGUUGGAUCGUCACCAAACUUUGAGACCUUAUCGUAUGUAAUAUUUGAGGACCUUAGGAGUUUACAGAUCGGGAAUCCAUCAUACUAAUCUUCCCGAAUUGGAUUUUCAAGUUUAUAAAAUAAAACGUUGACCACCACUUGAUUUCAUGAUUGGCGGAGAUCCGACCGUUGGAUUGGAAUGAAAUUUUAGUAUGUUGUUCUAGAAGCGUAAGGUGAACUACGCGGAACCUUUUACAACUAUUAACACAAUCUUCUCGAAGCAAUGAUAACCCGCACAUAAUCAACCUAACAUAAUCCAGGAUAGAAAUUAUAAAUACAAACCAAAUUCCUUUGUAUCCAUCAUGACAGCUAUUUCAGUUAGCUUUUGGAUCUCAAGAAAAUGAAAACCAGAUAUUACUCUACUUAUGAGAAAUAUCAGUGUCUCAGGCCGGAUGAUGAUGCUGUAACAACUCUAAGUAGUUUUCAAUACUUUGAUAUCUGCAAGUUUUGUUAAUAGUAAGCACAUUAGGUGAAAAUGAAAAUGAAAACAAGGAAAAUGAAAACUUUCCUUGUUGCAAAUCACUUUACGCAACAUGUCACCCGUUGGCAACAUUUUUUUCAUGCUAUGACCAAGAUUGGACUUCAAGUUAGUGAGUCUUAAACCAGUCCAAAACUGCACUAAACCUUUAGGAACAACCUAUCAAGAAAACUAAUAAUUUGAACAAGCUUUAGAAUCAGUUCUGCUUCAGGCUACACGAUUAUAUCACAUAUUGUCCGGUGGUAGUACAUUUAAGAAAGUCAACUAAGCAAAUAACAGCCUGUAGCUAAACGUUUCAUAUCUUUGAUCAGUGACCCCUAUGCAAGCUCAUUGAUAGCAUUUAAAAAUGAUCCAGUCAAGAAAAGUAUACAAAUUAGCUAAUGAUUUUGUAGAUACCUGUGCAGCGUUGUUAAAUUCAGGUAAAGGAUUCCCAUUAUUAUAUGUUGCUUUGACAAGUUCAUCGAAAAUGUAGCCAUAUAGUACGUCACUCUUCUCCAGUUUUUUGUUCAGACCUUCCACAUGGUUUCGAUGAUGGCCUCCCCAAUGAACUUCCAAUAUUCUCUGACUCAUAUACGGCUCCAAAGCAUCCUGAAAACAGAAACAUUACAUUUCAGUCAAGGAAGAUCAUAUGCAUAUUGCAAGCAUAAUAUAAUUACAUGUAUGUAUCAUCACGUGACAAGAAUAAGCAGCUCGAAACAGAAUAGUAAUCUCUACACAAUAAGAUUUACAACACGAGAUGGAUAACUUCAUAGAAUCAAAUGCUACACCACAAGAACUUCAGAAACCAAACAAUCAAAUUACUAAAGUAUUGCAAAUCCCAUCAGGUAAUAAGAAACCACAAAACUUCUCUUGGUGCACCUAAUGUGACAAUAGAAGCUGACUUGGCCAACCCGAUUUCAUGUCCUUAAAAUUGGUUUAAGGAGAAACUAGUUUACUUACAAGAAUAUAAGGAGGUUUCUUCAAUCCAUAGUAAGCACAAACUAACCCCAACUUUUGGCCUUGAACGGCUACAAUGAUUCCAGUCUCUUAAACUGUAACAACAACUAUUAACAUACAUAGAGAGUAAUUCUUAAACCUUGAAAUUUAGCCCAUUUCCUAAUAAUUUAUCCCAAAUAAAAACCUGAUUCAAUCCCCAUUUCAAAAUUAAAACCCUAAUUCCCAUUCACAAUUUUUCAAACCCUGAAAUCCAUCCCAUGCCCUAGUAAUUUAUCCCAAAUUAAAACCCUAAAUUCUAAAAUUCAUCUCAAUUCACGAUCAAAAUCCUUAAUUUCACAAUUCCAUAAUUUGUAAUUAGACUUACUUUCGAGAUAGACGAGCACGACGAAGGGGGUGGUGACUGCCUGUCGUUUGGAACGAAAGGGAGAGAGACAACCGAUAGUGGGUUCGAGAUUGGGGCAAUUUAGGGUUCGAGCGAAGAGGAGGAAGCCUACGGGAGAGAGGGUAUGAUGAGCGAAGAGGAGGAAGGCUACGAAAGAGAGAGACCGAGUGAGAGAGAGAGAAAGAGAGAAGGGGUCUGGGAAGAGGAGGAGGGCGUGAAAAGCAAAGGGGUCUUGGAAGAUUUUGUCCAAAAUUAUCAAAACUGGCGCUUAUUUUUUACACUUGUGCCAAAAUAUUCAAAACUGGCGCGACAUAGGUAUACAAUUCGACGUCGCGCAAAGUGUUUUUGCGCGACGACAACAUAAAGGCGUCGGUAUUUUUUAUAUAAAAAAAUUAUUAUAAAAAUAACUGAAAAUGUGACUUUACUCAUUUUAAAUUUAAUUAUUUUUACAUAAAACUCAUAAUAAUAUAUUUUUUAACAAAAACCUGACUAAUAAAUUGGUAGCUACUUAAUAAAUAUACAUAUCAUUCAAUUUCUUAAGUAUUAUACGUAAAAAAUAAAUAAAUUUAAAUCUACUUGAUAAAUAUAUAUACCAUUGAACUUGAUGCGAUACCACAUUGUACGUAACUAAUUUAAAUGAUCUAACCGUCAAACUUGUUUGUAUAUUGAUGCGUGAAAUAAGUUAACACACAAAUUAACCCUCUUUUUGACAAUUGUAGUAUAGAUGUAAGUAGGGUAUCGUUCUAGGCCGGGGAUUAGGAGGGAUUGCUAAUCUAUUCUAAAUUAAUUUAAAAAUAUUAAACAAGACUCAAGGACACAAAACUAGGCUAAAAACUCUAAUAACUCGAAACACACUUAGAAUGACUCAAAAUAAUGAAAACAAUCAAAUUAGACACUAGGAACUGAAAUGGACGGAAAUUGAAUUAAAAGACUAACAACAAUGAAAACUAACUAAAUAAUAUAAUUUAAUAAUGGGGGGGUUUGGUUUUUACGAGAAGUAAAUUAAACUUAAAUAAAUUACAGAAUUGACAAAAGCAUGAAAUUAAGGUGAAAGGAUAGGUGACGGACUAGCUAGAGGGUUCUUCUCCACACAUGACACAAAUGCAACCUAAAUUGAUUUUCAGUUGUUCUUUCAAUAAAUUGUAAAUCUCAACGCCCCAAAUUAACCGUGAAUUGCACUAAUUAACCCUCAGUUUUUCCACAAGUUAUUAGGUUGGAUGAUUGCAUACGACAACCCAAAACAUUCCCUACAAGUUCCCUACAUGAAUUGCAUAAUAGAGAUACAAGCAAGAAUCAUUAAGUUCUAUGAAAAACAUAAGCAUUGACGAGGCACUCGUUACUAUGAUUUGCAUGAAACUUAUGCCAAGAAUUUACUUAACGUGAUUGGGACUAGCAACCUUCACUACUUGUGAAUAUAAGUUCAUAACGAUUAGGUGAAACUCCCUUAUAUUCUAGCGUCAAAUUCAUGCAUGUAAAUUAAGUAUGCAUUCUUAAUCGACAUACAAAAAUAAGCUAUCAAUCAAGCAGUUAAGCAAAUUAAAUCACAACUCAGAAAUCACAACUGAAGGUAAUCAAUUCAUAUUACAAAUAUAUUCAUGGCUUUGAAUUAACCUCUAGCCAAAAUAAAAUUAGUUACAUAUUAUUAAAACAGAAAUAAAAUAUAAGUUUGGAAAGAUUUAACCAAAAAAAAUAGAGUGAAGCUCCUUCUCUGUCUCUCUGUGCUCCCCCUGUCUCUGCCUUCCGCGCCUUCAGUUUUCUUCUUUUCUCCUGCGUCAGUCUGUCCUCCCCCCGCCCCAGUCCUUGCUGCUGUCACUCUCUGACUCUUUUUUUUUAUUUUCUGUCUGUUUCGUUUCUCUUGGUCUCCGCCCCGCCCCUGCUAGUCGGUCUCCCCUAUUUUUCUAUUCUCCUUCCCUCCUAUCUGCCGCGCCUCCUGGCCUCAUCUUAUUCUUCUUUCAUUUUUUUAUUCCUUCUUUUUUCUUUUUCUUGUCUGCCAUGCCUCAUUCCUUUUAUCAUUUUCUGUUUUUCUUUCCUCCACCAUUCCUUUCUUUAUGUUUCUUUUAUUCCUCCAUCAUUCCAUGUCUCCCCUUUUAUUUAUUUUCUUAUUCUUCUUUCUCCACACAAUCCGCAAGUCUCUCCCUUUCCUCUUUUAUUAUUCAAUUUCUUGAUAGUCCACUUCCUUCCUUUGUUUAAUGACGUGCUGCAUUCUGUCUUUUCUCUAUUCUUUUCUGCCCAUUUUGUUUGAAAUUAAUCCUACAACAAAAUUAACUGUACAUUAACACGAGGUAAGGUAAAAUGCCACAAUUUUGACACAAAAACAUCCAAAGACUUUAGAAAUGAAUGGUAUAAAUGCAUGAAAUAUAUGAGUGAUCAUAUAUGCUUCAAGAUUGCAUACACCAAAAAUGGCAAAAAACAAACCUUCAUAGUGAUAGUAACGAGACAAAACUUUUCGACAGCUAUAAACGAAAAAAUCACGAUUUAACGGUUAUUUUAACUCCAAUUUUGAUGAUUUUGUACAACUACACUCUUGGAUCUUAUAUGAAUACAAGGAACUGAUUCGAUCAUCAAUUUAAAACAUUUACAUAAGUGGAUACCACAAAAUCUUAUGUUAUACUUGAUGAAAGUAUAAAUAAAAUAUAAGUGUUAGGAAAUCUAUUGUUUUAAUGGGAUACGCAUUGUACAAAACAAGUUUCAAUGAUCCAACUGUCAAACUUGUUUGUAUAUGCUUCAAGAUCACAUACUCCAAAAAUGAAAAAAAAACAAACCUUCAGAGAUCAAGUAACGGGACAAAUCUUUUCGACGGUUAUAAACAAAAAAAUCACUAUUUAACGGUUAUUUUAACUCCGAUUUUGAUGAUUUUUUACAACUACACUUUUGGAUCCUAUAUGAAUACAAGGAACUGAUUCGAUCGUCAAUUUAAAACAUUUACAAAAGUGGAUACCACAAAAUCUUAUGUUAUACUUGAUGAAAGUAUAAAUAAAAUAUAAGUGUUAGGGAAUCUAUUGUUUUAAUGGGAUACGCAUUAUACAAAACAAGUUUCAACGAUCCAACCGUCAAACUUGUUUGUAUAUGCUUCAAGAUCACAUACGCCAAAAAUGGAAGAAAAAAAAAACCUUCAGAGAUCAAGUAAUGGGACAAAUCUUUUCGACGGUUAUAAACGAAAAAAUCACGAUUUAACGGUUAUUUUAACUCUGAUUUUGAUGAUUUUUUACAACUACACUCUUGGAUCCUAUAUGAAUACAAGGAACUGAUUCGAUCAUCAAUUUAAAACAUUUACACAAGUGGAUACCACAAAAUCUUAUGUUAUACUUGAUGAAAGUAUAAAUAAAAUAUAAGUGUUAGGAAAUCUAUUGUUUUAAUGGGAUACGCAUUGUACAAAUCAAGUUUCAAUGAUCCAACCGUCAAACUUGUUUGUAUAUGCUUCAAGAUCGUAUACGCCAAAAAUGGCAAAAAACAAACCUUCAGAGAUGAAGUAACGGGACAAAUCUUUUCAACGGUUAUAAACAAAAUAUCACGAUUUAACGGUUAUUGUAACUCCGAUUUUAAUGAUUUUUUACAGCUACACUCCUGGAUCCUAUAUGAAUACAAGGAACUAGUUCGAUCGUCAAUUUAAAACAUUUACACAAGUGGAUACCACAAAAUCUUAUGUUAUACUUGAUGAAAGUAUAAAUAAAAUAUGUGUUAGAGAAUCUAUCGUUUUAAUGGGAUACACAUUGUACGAAACUAGUUUCAACGAUCCAACCGUCAAAUUUGUUUGUAUAUGCUUUGAGAUCGUAUACGCCAAAAAUAGUAAAAAACAAACCUUCAGAGAUUAGGUAACGGGACAAAACUUUUCGACGGUUAUAAACGAAAAAAUCAAGAUUUAACGGUUAUUUUAACUCAAAUUUUGAUUAUUUUUUACAGCUACACUCCUGGAUCCUAUAUGAAUACAAGGAUCUGAUUCGAUCAUCAAUUUAAAACAUUUACACAAGUGGAUACCACAAAAUCUUAUGUUAUACUUGAUGAAAGUAAAAAUAAAAUAUAAGUGUUAGGAAAUCUAUUGUUUUAAUGGGAUACGCAUUGUACAAAACAAGUUUCAAUGAUCCAACUGUCAAACUUGUUUGUAUAUGCUUCAAGAUCGCAUACUCCAAAAAUGAAAAAAAAAAACAAACCUUCAGAGAUCAAGUAACGAGACAAAUCUUUUCGACAGUUAUAAACAAAAAAAUCACUAUUUAACGGUUAUUUUAACUCCGAUUUUGAUGAUUUUUUACAACUACACUUUUGGAUCUUAUAUGAAUACAAGGAACUGAUUCGAUCGUCAAUUUAAAACAUUUACACAAGUGGAUACCACAAAAGAAACAGGCAAUGCAAGAACCCCAAUAGAAAAGCAAAAGGAAAAUAAAAAAACUUUGCGCAACGGAGGUACAACCGUCGCACAAAGUUUUUUUUUUUUUUUUUUUUUUGUUCCUAUGUUCCACAGUUUUAGCUUCUUGUAUAUCUCUUCCACUCCUGCCUUAAAAUUAUUGUUUAAGGACCUAUAUGAUGAGACCACGUAUUCAAAAUCGUAAAGGGUAGAGACUACACCUAAAAUGAUUACUAACCACGUAAUAGAAUAGUGGUUUGACAAAAAUAUAAACUAGCUUUUUCUCUAAAUCUCUAACAUUCUAGUUUCCUUCUCCCAAUUUAGUGAGAAAUGAAAUCAUUUUUUAGCACACAUCAAUCUAUCCCUAAAUUGGAUCAAGUUAACUGAGCAGCUUGCAGUUUCUUAGCUUUUGUUUCCCUAAACCUAUCAAAAUCCUUCAUACUCCUAGUCAUUCAUUCUACUCAUUCAAUUGUUCAAAACCAAAACUCAACUUGUUAAAAAUAAGCAUUGACAAAGAUAAUUAAAGAAAAACAUAAAUACACAAAAAUAAAAAAAUCCGAACAUAAAUGUAAUCAAUAAAUAGUUAAUUAAUUAAUCAAAUAAAUACAAUACUUGAAGGUGAAGAUGGUGAAGGUUGAGAGAGAUGGAGAGUCUGAAAGAGAGAGGUUGAGUGUGAAGAAAAAGGCCAUUGUGUGUGGUUAUUUUAGAAAAAAAAAUCGUCGACUUUGCGCAACGCUUCAUACGUUGCGCAAAACAGCAUUGCGCGACGUAGGUUCAAUUACGUCGCGCAAAGUUGUUUUGCGCGACGUAGGUGCACAUGUGUCACGCAAAGAUGGGAUGGGUUGGCGCCAAAAUUUUACGUGCGCAAGUUUCCGUCGCGCAAACAUGUUUUUGUACUAGUGAUUGUCAGUUUUUCAAGAGAUCCUCGUAAGGACUCCAUGUUCAGGGUAUUACUGGCCCUGUUUUCAUGUAGAACCUCACACUCAGACACAUCAAGUGUUUUCAAGGAAGAAAGAUGAGUAGGCAAGUCUCCUAUCAGCUUCGGACACUCUCUUAAUAUCAGCUCCUGAAGACGAGGGAAGUCUGGACUUUCACCACCACUUGGACUAGGCUGCCAUUCCUCCACUCUGGCAUCUCCCGAAACUCUAGCUUCUCUAAACAUUGAAAUGGUUGAUUUCCCCCGUACAACUCACCACCAGCCGGCAUGUCAUAAAAUAAUAAAUCUUCAAAAUAAUCAAAAUUCGUUAAACGUCAGUUUUACUAUUCAAACCGGCAUGCUGCAACGAACAGUUAAGUAAAGGGUCCAAAACGGCAUGUCAUAAAAUAAUAAGGGUCCAAAACGGCAUGUCAUAAAAUAAUAAGGGUCCAAACCGGCAUGUCAUAAAAUAAUAAAUCUUCAAAAUAAUCAAAAUUCGUUAAACGUCUAGUAAAACGGGGGAUUGAGCACUUUUACUAUUUUGUCAUCCUCAAUUAAAUUGUCUUUUUUAAGAAUUGUGAAAAGGAAAGGGUAUUUUUAAGUGAAGAGGAUCAUCUUCUGAGUUCAGGAUGGGAAUCCUCCUGAUCUGAUCAGGUUAUCCGGAUCAUUCAAAUUUAAUUCAACGGUUGUAAUUAUUAUAACUUUUAGAGGACCCUCCUAUUUAGAACCAUUGGAUUAAAUUUGAACGGUCCGGAUGACCUAGUCAAGAGGAUCCCCAUCUUGAGCUCAGGAGGAUCCUCUUCCAUUUUUAAAUUUACACAUAUUAAUUAUGAUUCAAAAAUAAAAUUAAAUAUAUGUUUGGUUAACCGCACCCUAAAAAUUUUGAGAACCGAUUGCCAAACUGAUUGAGAUCGGUACGGUUUGGUUUAGCCAUCGAAAAUUAAAUAUAAAAAAACCAAACCUAGCUUCGGGUGGGAUUCAAACCGAUUGCCAAACGUUAUUUCCCUUUGUCACAUGUCGACUCUCGAUGUAUGUUGGGAUCCGGGCGUUACACAAACUUAAUCACCACAAAAGGGACUAAAAUGAUUAGUAUGUCAUCAAUGUGUGAUAAAAAAUUACUUUGUAGCUUCGCCACAACAGUCUACCUUUUGAGGAUCGAAAAGACUCACAGAGGCAUUUCAACCUCUCAUUGACCAUUAUCGUGUGAUACACACGCGUUAAGAAUUUAACCCAAAACAAACUGUGUAUAAUAUAUGAGUAUGAAAUUCGUUUUCAAUCAGUAGGUCAUCCCUUAGCGUGAGGGCAAUGAUAUUUUUUUCAAUAGGUCAUCCCAUACUGGAAUUGUCCCCAAUGUGUAAAAAUCACGAGCGUUAGACCAAUUCCAGCGUAUAGUUGUUUAUUUGUAAGGUUAUUUUCGUGGGGGCAAUGAUAUUAAAAUUAUGCACACAUCACACAGAAGACAAUCCCAUCUUACUUGCAUGUUGCAACGAACAGAUAAGUAAAGGGUCCAAACCGGCAUGUCAUAAAAUAAUAAAUCUUCAAAAUAAUCAAAAUUCGUUAAACGUCUAACAAAACGGGGGAUUGAGGAGUUUUAAUAUUUUGUCUUUUUUAAGAGUUAUGAAAAGGAAAGGGUAUUUUUAAGGGAAGAGGAUCCUUUCAUGAGUUCAGGAUGGAAAUCCUCCUGAUCUGAUAGGAUCAUCUGGACCGUUCAAAUUUAAUCAAACGGUUGUAAUUAUUAUAACUUUUAGAGGACCCUCUUAUUUAAAACCGUUGGAUUAAAUUUGAAUGGUCCGGAUGACUUGAUCAAGAGGAUCCCCAUCCUGAACUCAGGAGGAUCCUCUUCCAUUUUUAAAUUUACACGUAUUAAUUAUGAUUCAAAAAUAAAAUUAAAUAUAUGCGGGUCGGUUUGGUUAACCGCACCCUAAAAAUUUUGAGAAUCGAUUGCCAAACCGAUUAAGAUCGGUACGGUUUGGUUUAGCCAUCGAAAAUUAAAAAAAAAAAAAAAACAACCCAAGCUUCGGGUGGGAUUCAAGCAGUUUAGUCGGUUUUUUUUUUAAAUGCCCAGCCGUAUGUUCUACGUAGAACCCAACGUAAUUUUUUUAUCUAAAUAAUUAAGAUCCCCGUAAGCAAAUUCAUCAAUUAUACUUUACUUUAUAGAUUUUACAUUUUUCGAAUUCUUAAAAAUAUUCCUAUUACAUGUUUGAUGUAAACAAUUAAUUCUAUAUGGGUUCUUAGCUUUGAUGAUCGCUAAAGGUAAAUUUGAACCCCAUUAUUACUAACACAUUGUGAGACUUAGUCCACUCUCCAUCCUUUCAAUGUAGAUAAUAUCAUUUGUUAAAAAAAAAACAAUAUAUCUUUUACCUUUUAGUUAGUCAUAAUUUUUUCAUUUCUCCCCUCAACUCGGAGAUAAAGAGUUAUGUAUUUCAAUACAACCAUACGUAAUAAUCAAGCCCUUACUUCUAUAUAUACGUGUGUGUAUGACAAGGUGAUAAAUCAACUUAAGCCUUUUCCCAGUUCAGCAAAAAUCAUUUUGCCUCAAGCUUCUAAUGACAGUUGCAAAAAUGGAUUCUCUGCCUUAUGCAAACUCUAUCACUGCUGGCCUGUUCACAGUAAUCAUCGUGUUCUAUUACUUAUCUCGAAGAUGGAGAGCUUCCAAUCACGAGGGCAAAUUAUCACCACCAGAAGCCAAGGGUGGAUGGCCUAUAUUUGGUCACCUUCAUUUGUUCGGAGGCCCCACACCUCCUCACAUAACUUUGGGAGCCAUGGCGGACAAGUACGGACCCAUUUUCACUAUCCGCCUUGGCGUCCAACCGUCGUUGGUGAUAAGCAGCAGUGAGAUCGCAAAAGAAUGCUACACAACCAAUGACUUGAGCAUACUCGGUCGCCCAAAGAUGGUGGUUGCAGAUCACGUUACCUACAACUAUGCCAUGUUUGCGUUCGGACCACCUGGACCCUAUUGGCGACAAAUUCGCAAGAUCGUUACCUUGGAGUUGCUCUCAGUCCGGAAGGUUGAGCUGCUCAAGCACAUUCGAGUGUCGGAAGUGGCUACUUUCUUAAAAGAAUUGCACGACCAUUGGAGUACAAAGAAAAAGGAGGGCUCGAAAGAUGGAGUGGUUGUAGAGCUAAAGCAAUGGUUUGGGGACAUGAUGCUGAACGUUAUUCUUACAAUGGUGGCUGGAAAGCGGUUUUCGGUGGCUGCCACUGGGGGGAUGAGAGAAAAGAAGCGCGUAGGGUUCAGACUGCAUUGAGGGAGUUCUUUGAUUAUCUGGGCAUGUUUUUGGUGGGUGAUGCGGUUCCUUAUCUGCGGUGGUUGGAUUGGGGUGGACAUGAGAAGGCAAUGAAGAAAAGUGCAACGGAAAUGCACGCCAUUAUUGCAGAGUGGCUUGAAGAGCAUAAGCAGAGGAGAGCAAAAGGUGAUGCAAAAGGAGAAAAGGACUUCAUAGAUUCGUUGCUUUCUGUGCUUGAUGGUGCGGACCUUGGCAGUUUCGAUGCUGAUACGAUCACCAAAGCCACAAGCGUGGUACGUAUAUAUAAUUUAUUAAAUUUGCAGGCAAAUAAUUAACCAUAAAAGGCUGGAGUUAGACACUAUACACAUAAAGAUUUUAUUUUUACUUUUCAAUACUUAUAAGCUAAUUGCAUAGUCUAUAAAAAGAAAAUGAAAACAUUAGACGAUAAUAUUUUUUUUUUUUAAAAACAAAUUAUGUCCAAUUUUAUAUAUGACUCAUGUGACAUAUUUGUCGGCUCACCAAUGGGUGAUGGUAAAGAGAUUAUCUUCUUAGACUGUAUAUGUAGAAUACAUGAUGUAGCGAUUGUUAGAUUCUUUCUUUAAAUCUUUAAUAAUGAAAUCCAACCAUCAAUUAUCAUAUUCUUUGAUUUACAAGAUGUGAUUUAAAAAUAUAAUCACUAACAUUUUCGUCGCCUAAAGAACGUAUAAAUGUUAAUCAAGCAAAUAUUCCUUGGGCAGAAUAUUAUUGCAGGAGGUGGCGACACCACCAUGGUGCCAUUGACGUGGGCAAUAUCAUUAUUGGUGAACAACCCUCAAGUUUUGAAAAAAGCUGUAAACGAACUGGACACCAAAAUAGGCAAACAAAGAGUUGUGAGUGAGGAAGAUAUAAGCAACUUGGUCUACAUCCAAGCUAUUGUAAAGGAGACGUUACGUUUGUACCCAGUAGGACCAUUAUCAGGGCCGCGUUUAUUCACCGAAGAUUGCACCAUUGCUGGCUACCAUAUCCCAAAGGGCACCCGGUUGAUCCCGAACUUCUGGAAGAUCCAAACUGACCCGAAAAAUUGGCCUGAGCCAUUCGAGUUCAAGCCAGAGAGAUUUCUUACCACACACAAGGAUGUUGAUCUGAAGGGUCGGCAUUUUCAGUUUCUUCCUUUUUCAAGUGGUAGAAGAUCAUGUCCUGGUUUGGCAUUUGGUCUUCAACUGGUGCAAUUUACAUUGGCUAGUUUUCUGCAUGCGUUUGAAAUCUCAAACCCGUCGAGUGCACCAAUUGAUAUGACAGAGAGUUUUGGAAUAACCAACGUUAAGGCAACUCCACUCAAUGUUCUCAUCAAACCUCGUUUAUCUUCUGAACUUUAUAAAUAAAAGAAGAAAAUACAGAAUAUUAUGUGUACGAUAUGAAUAAGAGAUUUUCGUUGUUAUUAGUUAUGUAUAAUUAUGUGUCCAUCUUUGUAAUCGUAAAAUCAAUAAAUCAACUGCCAAUGUAAGAUACAAAACCUAGCAAUAAUGGGUGUUUGAGAAUGGGUAUAUUUAGCAAUAAAAAAGUACCCCAAAAAAGCCUCUAUUUACAUUUUCAAUUGGGCUAUCUUUUGGGUCUGUUGCCUCCGGAUUUUUUGAUUUUCAAUUUGUUUGUAAAGAACCCACCCAUUUGCCAGCAUAAACAGGACAAAUUAAAAUAGUCUGAAGUGCAAAAUUUGCAUAGCAAUGACAUGUUUACUGCUUAAAUCACUUUGCAUAUCAGUAAUGUGAUAUUUCUAGCAUUAUUUGUAGGGCAGAAAAGAAAUCCAAGUAAACCGAAUUCGAUCCGAAAAAUUUAGGCCCAACUUGAGAAAAGCCAAACCUGAAAAUUCCAAAUUAUUUGUUAUCGAAACCAGUGUUCUAAAAAUCGGCCUAGGCGGCCGCCUAGGCACUGGGCGGAGGUGUGCCGAGGCGAUUAGGUCCGAAUCGUUAAGAAAAAUCGGGGAGCUGUUAGGCGCCCGCCUAGGCGUUCUUAGGCGGCCUGGGCGGUCUAGGCGGCUAUCUAGGCGGAGUGAAACGAUUUCCUGGGAAGAAAUUCCAAACAGAAAUCGAAAAUCACAAACUCAAAUUUAAACUUGAAAUUAACAUGCAGAGCAUGGGUUAAGCUACCUGAGUUUCUAACGGGACUAACUCGAGCUCAUGGGACCCCAAGUUCGACGGGUCCCUCGCCGGAGCUCCACGCCAGAAGCUCAAUUUUCAAAGGUUGUAGUUCGAUUCCAUUAGAGCAACUCUCACCGAGAGAACCCCUGCUUGGAUUCUCCUACUUUCCAUUAAAUCAAAACAGGAAUGGCACCAGUCAAUGAGGGAGAAAGGAAACGAGGGAAAGGAGGGAGAGGAGAAGAAGAGAACCGGUCAAUCCAGUUUUUCCACCCGACCCGCCAACUUGACCCACUCAUAUCUCUUCCAUACGAACUCCGUUUUGGGUGAUCUUGGUGUCCAUGGAAAGCCCUUGACGAGCCCUACAUCUCUGUAGUGUUAGAUUUCCCAAUUUGUUUCCCAUUUUUCUAGUUCGAAGCCACAAAGCCCAUGGCUUUUUCGAUGGAUUUAAUCUUUUUUCGGUGGCUCCGGCAAGCUUCACCAUCGAUGACCACCACCAAAAGACUCCUCUCAACCCUAGGAGCAACGCCCAAGCCUUUGAUGAGGUGACGAAGUUCGUUUUGGUGACGAAUCGACAACUACCCAAAUAGGGUUUCUGGCGGGUUCGAGUCAAUUUGGAGCAUUUUCCAGCCAAAUUGGACUUGACCACAGGUAAAAGUUUGUUUUACUCUUUGAGAUCUUCAUUUAUAUAAAAUUUGAGAAUUUUUGGAAAUAGUUGAAAUUUUCCGGCGAGUCUGGAUGGCUGACCGCCACCCAUGGCAGUGAGUGGCCAGAGGGUCGUUGAUGCUAAUUUUAGGCUAAAUUAGAUACCUUGAUUUCAGUUUUGAUAUUCGUAUGAUGUAGGUUGAUCGUUUGAACCUAAAUUCACUACGAUACCUUACUUGAUCAAAAUAAUGAAUCGACGAUCCGACCGUUAGAUUGUCACUAAACUUUGAGACCUUAUCGUAUGUAAUAUUUCAGGACCUUAGGAUUUUAAAGAUCGGGAAUCCAACGUACGAAUCUUCCCGAAUUGGAUUUUCAAGUUUAUAAAAUAAAACGUUGACUGCCACGUGAUUUCAUGAUUGGCGGAGAUCCGACCGUUGGAUCGGAAUGAAAUUUUAGUAUGUUGUUCUAGAAGCGUAAGGUGAACUACGAAUGGCUUGAUCCCUUCGUUUAGUGUAUGUUGGCAGUCUAACUAGGAUGUUAGAUGCAGCCAUAAAUUAAACAAAAUGAUUAUUUUUUUUAGUGUAGUUAGUUAGAAUUAUAAUUAACCAUUAUUUUAUUGUGGCCUACCUGUGUGUUUGGCUUCCGAAUUAGAAAUUUCGGGUCGUUACAAUGAGGGUACAAUUCGGAAUGGGGAUAUGCAGGUAUAUAUUGAUUUCAUAUCUGUUGUAUUGGUUGAAGCUUUAUUAACGGUACUAGAGUUGUUAAAUUUGUCCACCAUAUAUAUUCAAUAAAUUAUGUCCCAAUGUUGUUGUUGCUGUUACUCAAUAAUGGGGUUUCUUAAGGUAGACUGUUAUCAAGUUCGAAUUUUCUAAUUUUCUUUCUACAAAUUAUUUUGUGUUUUAGGAACUGUAGUUGUAUAAUUUUAAGUGACUGAAAAUUGGAUUUGGUGAUUCUCUGUUUUUUUUUCUUUUAUUAUUUUUAUUAAUUGCCAUAUACAACUUUUGUGUAGGUUUAUGUUGCUGUAAUUUUGCAUUGCCUAUUGAAUAACACAUUAUAAUCUUCCAAUAAAUGGAGUCUUUGUCACUUAUACAUCAUAUAUUGCAAUCAAAUAAGGUGAAUUCUAAAAUAAUGGAGUCUUAGGCUCUUAAUGCAGAUAACAUUGUUUGUUCAAAAUAAGUACGAAGGUGAAUUCCAAAAUUAAAAGGAAACCCACAAUUUCUUACAAAAUUAUAAUAAACGCAUCUCUGUUAAUAGGUGUUGACGCUGUAUCACAAAAAGUCUUAUUGCAGUAAGCAAAUCAUUUGUUAUAUUAUUUUAUUAUACUUUAUGUUCUUGGUACAUAAAAGUUGAGAGAGGGAGAGAUGAGGCACUCUUACCUAGGCUAAGAGCAACUUCACCACCGUUGCUUAUUACCUUGGGGAAAUACCCAACUACUCCACUUCCUUAAAACACUCCACCCUACUCGAGCAAUUGGGCUCAAGGCGAGCUCGAUGGAUUAGUCAGACAAUAAUCAUUUGGCCCAGUGUCCUGUUUAUAUGAUGCAAGGCUGGCAUCAUUCACAAUUUAAUUUAGGAAAUUGUUAUUGGCACUCCAAAUUUCUCAUUUUACACUCUAAAUUUUUUAUAUUUAGAAAGAAAAAUACAUUUGUGAUGAGUGUAGAAUGAGAUUUUUGUAGUGUCAAUAACACUUCCCUUUAAUUUAUUAAAAAUCAUUAUAAAAUAUUAAAAAAACUAAUUACAAAUAUAAAAAAUUAGAAUUUUUUCUAUAAAUACCUAUCCACGUUCUUUCACUUUACACUACAUUUCAACAUUUUCAAAUACAUUCACCAGUUUUUUAUUAUUAUUAUCCUAAAUUAAAAAUAAUAUUAUCUUUCAUUAUUUUAUAAAACAAAAAAUACUAAUAUUUUAAUACGAAUUGCCUAGGCUAUUCAGUUUAGGGGUGGAGAUGCACUUAGGCAAUUAUUUUCACUGCCGACAGUUACUAUUCAUUUAAGGGGAUUGAGUUGCCUGUUGCCCAAAAGGGGCCUUACUACACUGGAACUACUCUAAGGUAUACCACAAGCCUCAUUGAGGAUUUAGACAGGAGUCCUAAUUCCUUUUUUUAGUUUUUACAUAUUGCUCAUCAAGAGGGAUUGUCGGCAUCGAAACUCGAAUUUAGACCUUUAUAUUAUUUACUCAUGUUGACUAGUUUAUUAUACUUUAGUAAUAGGCUAAAUAGCUAAAAUGGUCCCUGAUUUGCAUAAUCAAUAGAAAUGGUCAUUGUGAUUGUCCACCAUCCAUGAUUCUUUUGGGCAAUUUUCAAAACUUCGUAACUCAAUUAAUUCUAAACCAAAUUCGAUCCAUAAUAUAUCAAAAUGAAGAUAGGAAAGUGUAAAACAAGAUUAUACCUAUUUGGAAGCCCAAUGGUUGCCGGAUAUAACCCGAAAAUAGCCUGAAAGGUGGCUGGUCCGCGGAAAAACUGACAACUCGCCGUAAACUGUGUAAACUUUAAACGUUCAUAACUUCUUCAAUACUCAACGAAAUCGAGUGAUUCUGUUUGGGCUCGAUUUUACAAUAUCGGCUCGAGCCAUCAAGGUCGUUGAAUGAGUAGGUUCUAGGCCGUUGGAUUUCUUAUUUUUCUAGAUAUUACUAUUGGAUUAUUAUAGUAAUUAUCUUAUAAAAUAUAUUUUUGGAAGCAAAGGAGAUCAAUUUCAGUUUGAAUUGCUACACUUACAUGAUUGGUUUGAGAGCUAACGUGGCAAGUUAAAAGAUUAUCUUCCCUGCAUUUAUGCAAAUACAAUGGGGUAAAAGAUGAGAUCAUAUUGGUCAAGGUUAGUUGGCGUGGAUAAAAAUGAUCUGAUGACCUUCUUUGGUUGGUCAACGAGGUGAAAUAGGUGAUCAGGAAAUCAAUGCAUGCGUUGGAUAAAGAUUACGAUGUUGAUGGAAUUACGAUAAGGGAAAAGUAAAAAUGGUGAUGUGCUUGAAAGAUGACUUUACACGUGGUGGUGAUAAAAGAUGGCAGUAAUUAUCUUGUUGAGUAGGCUAAAUGAUUUAGCAUAUUGGUAUAGACUUUUGCGUUAUGAGCCAGCAUGUGGUUGAUGGAUAUUUGGGAUAAUUCAAGAGGUUUAGUCUCGGUUGGUUUCUAGGAAAUCACCAAGGCCACGGGAUCAAUUUGGGAUAAUUUGAGAAGUUUAAGUCUCGGUUGAUUUCUAAGGUUAAGGGAUCAUGCAUACUUGAGAGAAUAUUCCCAUUAUUGACGACGACAAUCCUAGUGUUCUGCUAUUAUAAAUACAAGGGGUCAUCAUUCUAAAGGUCCCUUUCAAUUCAACACACAACUACCCUGCGCAAAUUCUCUCAACAACCUUGAGACUUUUUCCUUUUCUAUUUUCGCUGACACACCUUCAGUUUGGAUAAACAGCACUGUGAAGGCAACCGGUAGUAUCUUCAAUCGGCAUACAUAACACUGUCACUGUAGAAUCAGCCGACCUCACAGCAUCUUCAGUUUGGAUAAACAGCAUUGCGUCGAGGGCGACUGGUUAUCUAUCCAAGUCUUGAUCGAGAAGGAUUUCCGAGUCCUUGUUGGUUGAGGUCAUCUCAUCAGCCUUCUCGGCGAAGUGAGGUGUUAUAGUUUAUUGGGCUCGGCACACUACACGCCGAGUUAUUUUAUGAUUGGAUACUCACAAGUGGGAUUUAAAGUUUGGCAUUCAAACGGCCGAACCACGUUUACUGUUAAGACUUAUAUUUGCUUUGAGUAUUUAUGCCCUUACACUUUGGUGUCGAUUCAGCGUGAGUUUACUCUGACGAAUAUUAUCACUGUGACCGAAUUCGACGACAACGAUUUGUGAACUUCGUAAGAAUAGUAGCCUUGUCUUCAGGUUCGAGAACCCAAGAGGCCGAGACGUGUUCCUUCCUCGGUCGCAAUAGCAAGACGCAAAAGUCGACCGCAUACCCAACGCAACGUCAACAAAUUUUACUCAUUGGCCGAGCUCGGUCGACGAGUUGGCACGCCCCGCACACAACCGAAGGACGUAGUUAGCUCAUAGAUUACUUAGCCUGCGUGCCACGUAGGCUUGGUAGUUUUUAGGGUCAACAUUUUGGCACGUCCAGUGGGACCUAGUGCUAAUACUACGAAGUUCAUAUGAUAUAUCAAGAUUCCAAUCUCGUUCAAUGCAGCUGAUUGUGCGAGCUCUUAGAGGAAUUGAAAAAACACAAUGAGGAACGUAAAAAAUCUUAGGAAGUGGAAAAAGUUCUUCGUGGCCAUAGAGAGAUGCAAAAGUCAUUCGCUUACAUGUUGAGAAUAAACGCUCAUGUUACCCUGCAUGAGCAAAGGGUACAUGAAGACAGGGCUCGAUUUAAUGCCUGGCUAGAUGGAGAACAUUUUCCUUACGUUUUCGACUACUUAUCAAUUCCAUUUGAGGAAUGGUUGGUUGAAAAUACCGGGGGGUAAUUUUUCGCUCCGGCCGUAAUCAAACAUCGGCCUAAGAAAAUUGUUAAUUUGGCCAAAGAACAAAGGCCACCUAUUUUUUCGGUCGAGGCUGAAAAUAUGGUCGGCCAAGACAAAAAACCUAGGCCACCUAUUUUUUCGGUCGAUAUUGAAAGUGUGGUAGGCCUAGAAGGAAAAAUUCAAGUUUAUGAGCCACAAAUCGACUCAGAAAAUGAUUCGACUGAACAGUGCUCCAAUGAUGAACAAGGCUGAGACAUAGGCCUAGUCGGAAAAACCACGACAAUUGAUAUGAUUAUUGGUGAUAAAGCCGAUAUGGAGAAAUCUCAUUCGGUUAAAUUGUUUAAGUUAAAAGUUGAAAUUGGCAAAAUUAUUAUGCCCGGGGGGCGUAGUAAUUGUUCAAUACAUUCAGUAGUCGAUGAUAAAAAAUAUUUCACUAAGUCAAAAGUAUUUGGAGAUGAUUCUUUAUUCGGCCUAGAGCAAAAUCAAUUUCAAAAUUUUGUUAUUACAAGAUCUCGGCUUGGAAUAAAGCAUCGUUGGCCUUCUCCUGACUAUGGUUCGGCUACUUUUAUUUCCAUUUAAAAAAAAUAAAAAAGAAUAAAUUAUUUUCUUAAUCAUCUGGCUAAUUAAGUCGAUGCAUAAGAAAAUAAGGGGGCAACAACACUGCAACAAUCCAAAUAUAUAUAUAUAUAUAUAUAUUAGUUGGCCGAGGAAGUAAUCCAAAUUUGCUAAGAAGACGUGAUAUUGCAGCAUGUAUUUCAUUGUGUGUUUUCUGACGGUCGAGAGUCGGAAAAAAAAAAAACACUUUCAGCCUUUUAGGCCGAGGAUAAGCAAGAAGCAUAAGGGAUUUCAAAGGCCAAGAGUCGGGAAGAAAAUUCAGUGGAAUUGGAUUUCGGUGGGUCUGCACGGCCUUGGAUCUCACUGAGGUGAGGUUUACUGUUAAGACUUAUAUUCGCUUUGAGUAUUUGUGCCCUUACACUUUGGUGUCGAUUUGGCGUGAGUUUACUCUGACAAAUACUAUCACUGUGACCGAAUCCAACGACGACGAUUUGUGAACUUCGUAAGAAUAGUAGCCUUGUCUUCAAGUUCGAGAACCCAAGAAGCCGAGAUGUAUUCCUUCCUCGGUUGCAAUCACAAGACGCAGAAGUCGGCCGCGCACCUAACGCAACGUCAACAAAUUUUACUCCUCGGCCGAGCUCGGCCAAUGAGUUGGCACGCCCCACACACAACUGAAGGACUUAGUUAGCUCAUAUAUUACUCGGCCUACGCGCCAUGUAGGCUUAGUAGUUUUUAGGGUCAACAGAUUCAAAAACGAAAAAAUCAUACUUCUUGACGAGACGAAGAUAAUGGUACUUUUCUUGACCGCUAACUCGUCGUGGUUUGGCAGGAAAAAAGCUCGAAAGUGCCACUUUCGAGCCCUUUUUUUAUUUUUUAUUUCUCAGGUGAUUAAUACAAAAAAUAAGUGAGGAAUUUUGACAUGCAUCAAANAAGCAUAAAAAUUACUUUUGUCGAAUUUACUUUUUCUCAUAAGCUUAAGAACUACUGCUUACAUAACUCAUAAGAACUUUUAAUUCUUUCUUGGGGUAAAAGUGAAACGACAUAGGUCAUUAAGGAUUAAGCGAGUCGAAUCAGUCUUUAGAACUCGGUCGUCGAUUUGCUUCAACAGCCUACCUUCCCCCGCUGGGAGCGAUUGUGAUUUUUCAAAAUUUGAAGUCCUCAGAAAAGAAUUCAAUUCCAUUGGGUUGAGUGUCAUUGUCCUCAUCGUCGGCAUAUUCGAUGGCUUUGUGGGUAGUGUGUACGUGACCAUGAGUUUUGGUUAAGCAUGCCCUCCAUAUUUGAUUUUCAAUUCCUACACAAAUAGAAGUAUGCAACAAUCAGGUACGCAUUUACAUCAAUGAAUAAUAGAGGGGAGAAGAACAAGGUAGGGAUGGGAUGGAUCUUGACCCACAUGGAAUUGAUGUGUGAUUCUAUAGGAAUUGUGACCAACCAAAUGUUUAGGUUUAUUUUUUUUUCCCAAAUCUUUUCAUUUGAAGGAGAAAAUAUGUGUCCUUUGUCAUAUAUAAAAUAUAUAUGCCCUACCAGUCACCUAGUUGAUCAUUUGGGUAAUCAAAUUAUCUGUAUUAAAUUGUGGAGCACUUCCUUCUAAUACAGGUAAUACCCAUUAAUCUAAUCUAAUUGAUACAUUACAUUACAAAUUUUGUUUUUUUUAAAUGUGAUUAGUUGGUAGCUUCACUAUGACAGUUCACCUUUUUUAGGGCCGAAAAGACUCACAGAAAUAUUUCAGACUCUCCAUAGGCACUUCAUCAGCUCUAGAAAUCGAAUACAAUACGUAUUAUGUAGAAUACGAGCCAGAUACCAUUUCUUUAAUUAAAAACAAAUAUUGGUUUAAAAAAUCAAGGUUUUGGUCCAAUGUGCAUUUUCAGCACUCAACCAAAAGCAAAACACUUCACGAAUCAUGGCCAUGAGAUGUGCCCUUUUGACAAAAAAUUAAUAAGUAAUUAAUUUGGCUUUGACAACCCCAAUUAUCCCCUAGAUAAUACCAUUUUAUAAUCCUAAUGAUUAAAAUAUUGAAUCAAAGGUUUCACAUGGUGGUUAGUCGCUAUCGAAUAAAUCUAAUUGAUGCUACAACACAACAAGUUGUCCCACUCCACAUGAUGCUUCAUCCGUGUAAUCCAUAUAUAAACCAAUCUUUCCAAUACCUAAUUAAACCCCGUAUUUAAUUAUAUUAUCAUCCCAGAAUCAUGUGUACAUUUUUAUGUUUAUAUAUAUUGGAAAAUAUAUUUUUAUUUAUUUAAUUCUCUAAUCAAUGAAUUUGAGCAAGAUGCAUAUGGUCAUGGUUUGCUGAAAGCAUAUAGAAUAUCAUCAAGGUGACAAAUUAAUCCACAGAACAUAUUUUGAAUGAUGAAACUUGUAGUAAAAAUCACUCUCUAUUUUUUAUUUUAAACCUUAUGUUUUCAAAAAUGUGUCCAUUUUUUCUUCUUCUAUGUAAGCUAAUUGGAAUUAAUUUCAACUGCGGAUCCAAAAAUUAUACUCAUGAGGUCUUGGUGUAUAUAAGAUUUAUGUCUAGUUAGAGCAUUGAGGCAUUUUGUCAAGCAUUUUAGUUGCAUGUAAACAUUUGUCAAGCCAUGUGCUAGGCGAUCGAUAUAUGGAGAGCCAUGUUGCAUCUAUCAAGCAAUGUUGUUGAAGCUUGCCAAGCAUCAUUACCGAGAUCUGUCGAGCAUGCAUAUCAUCAAAACAUUAGUAGGAAAGGGACCUACCAAUCCAUUCUCCUAUCUUUCGGGGGUCUUGGGACCUGAUGGCCCUUUAAUGGUGUAGAGAGCUACUUCCGUAUUCGAGACCAGAAUAUCGUCUCUCGUUUUCACCUCCUUUGCAAUGAAGAAAAAAACUCAAAAAAGGAACUAGAUUUCCCACAAUUAGCCUGCCAGCUGAAGCAACGUGACUGAAUUACUUAAGCUUGAAUUAACCCAAUAUCAAGCUAAGAGAGUUAACCGCACUUUCAAUACACUUCCAACCCCUAUACCAAUAAUAUUGUUCAACCCAUUAAUUAAAUUUCAUUGCCUCUACCAACCAACAGUCCAGAAAACCAGCUGAAAACUUAUGUGUUUGCCAAUAUGUUAGUUGCCCUCUACCCAUCUCCCAUCUUCCAUCUUCCCAUGAUUCAAGCAAGGGCAACCUUCUCUAUCUUUAUUUCUUCUUUAUUCAAGUUUCUGUUAGAGGUCGCACUUGGUGUGAUGGCAAGUGCCUCGCCCAUGAGCGGUAGUCUCGGGUUCGAGACUUGGGAGCAGCCUCUCCAUAAAUGGGGUAAGGCUAGCCGACAUUCACCUCUCCCAGACCCUGCUAAAGCGGGAGAGCCUUGUGCACUGGGUAGACCUUUUUUUAUUCAAGUUCUGUUACAUUUUCAUUUGUCUUCCCAACGGCAACGAAAGGGGAUUGACAUAGCUUGAGAGACCUAAUUGUUUUUCUUGAUCAAACUGAAACCCCAAACUGGCAUUGUCAUAAAUUUCACCAAAUGAAACUAUUAGCUAAUAUCUUGUAUUUAGCUCCGGAAUCCGAUCCAUUUGAAUAUUACAAAUGCAUACGAUACGUCAAUUACUUCCAAAUGGAAUACAUAUAACGAGAGCCACUAUGUUAUCUAUUUAUCAGUCACAAUUGCAUAACUAGACGGCUUUUGAUUUAAGUGAGUUUUUUUAUACUUUAAUCAUAACCUAGAAAAUGAUCGUUCAGUUAUAAAAAUAUUGUACAAUAAACAUAUAUUAAUGAUUAGAACGUCGUAAAUUACUUACUGGUUGACUUGAACGGUCUAUAUUUUAAUAUGAACAAAGAGAUAUCCAACAAAUUGGUCAAUUUUGGAGCGAGGAUCCCUGUGAUUCUCAAAUCACAUCCGUUCAUCAUACAUCGUAUGGUCAAAAAUCAUUGUAAAUUUUUUAUUUAAAAUUGAAUAUAAAUAGUAGUUAUGAAAACUGAUCGACGAUAUACGAUAAAUUGAUGUAAAAUUCCCAAAUCUUCCCAAAGAGAUCCGGCAAAUCCUCUCUCAUUUCCUUGCCAUAAGAUAUUGCAUUUGGUGGCAAUGAAAAAUACUAGCACGCAUAAUCAUAUACAAGUAAACCAAAUGUUUAAUUAGAUAUUUGCAAGUACAAUCUACAUGUUCGAUUUGAGUACAAGACAACUUUGCCUAACAAGAAAAAAAUACAAGGUGAAGAGACAAGAAGACUCAUAUGAUGACUAGGGUUUCGAUUAAUUUUGGUUAAUAAGUCAAAAAAAUUUGGCAAAGAACGGUAGUUGCCCAAGUCUAAUCCUUUGGAAUACAAAUGAGCAUACUCAAACUACACAAAAACAUAAACUUGUUUUAAAUGUUAAAUUAGGUUAUGUCUUGUCAUUGGGCUAUUUACAUUAUUAGUGACAUGAAAAGUUGUCAACUCAAAAAUGAUCAAAUGUAAAGCAAAUAACAUUUAUUAGUGACAUAUAACAUUUUAGUUAAAAAAGAGCCAUGUCAAGUAAAAGUUACUCAACAGAAUAGAAAGUUAGAUUUGAUUCAACCAUUCCAUUAUACAUACACAACUCGUUAAACUCACCGUCACUUAGUCCUAUAUAAAUUUACGUAAGAAUAAUUCUCACUGAAGAUUACUUUAAGAUCAUCUUCAAUAUAGAUGUCAAUUUAAUUUUAUACCAUGUGGAGAUAAAUUUUUCCAGGAGCUUGAGAAGAAAUGUGCGGUGUACAUGCGACGCGAUGUGUACGGCACCAUGGGACGCGACGGAUUGCCGGUGAAGGAGAAAGUGCUGCUAGGGCUCGCGCUGGUGACUCUGGUUCCGAUACGGGUGGUUCUAACGACGACGGUGUUGGUGCUGACGACGACGGUGUUGGUGCUGUACUACUUGAUUUGCCGGAUUUGCACUCUCUUCAAAGUCCCCAAUCACGAUGAGCAGGAGCAGGAGGAUUACGCGCACAUGGGAGGAUGGCGGCGGGCGGUGAUUGUCCAGUGCGGCCGCGCCUUAUCCAGAGUAAUGCUCGUUGUCUUCGGCUUCUAUUGGAUCAGCGAAACCCAUCGAAUAUCAUCGGAUUCUGACCCCAAACCCGCCGCCCAGGUACUCUCUCUCAUCGUUUCUCUCUCUAAAGCAUGAAAAUUGAUUUCGUGAGAUUUUGAGCAGUGAAUUUUGAUGUUAAAUUUUUGGUUAGGGAAAAGAUGGGGCCGAAGAGAAGGAGCCUGAAAGGGCAGGGGCGAUUAUAUCGAAUCACGUUUCGUAUUUGGAUAUCUUGUAUCACAUGUCUAAUUCGUUUCCGAGCUUCGCUGCCAAGGUUUGCCACUCUCUUCACUUGUUCUUACUAAUUUUAUGGCACCGGAUGUGAAUUUUGAUUGAAAGAUGUUCCAUUUUUAUCUAUCUCGACCUAUUAUCUAUGUAUUGAUUCCCAUUUUUUGUUAUCCUGGAUUUUGUUGGUGAAGAGAUCGGUGGCGAAAGUUAGUAGUGUUAGACCGGGUCGUUAGUUUGUUUGAAGUCUUGUAUUUGGUUUCAAAGACUUCUCUCUUCGGAGUUGGAUAGGCUUAGGACUUUAUGUAAAUAGGGUUUUCAAACCCUGAAUGUAAUCUAUAUAUUGGCUAUAAAUAUACGCAACCCAAGUCUUUCUGGGUAUGCAAAGUUGAUGUGAAGCAACCCUCUUGUCAAAUAUACAAAACCUGCAGUCUCUUUUCAAAGACUGUUUCAUUUGCUUUCGCUUCCUUUAAUUUCAUUAUGUUUCUGAAAAUCUGUAGUUUAUCUGUCACCAUAGUAUUCCGUCAAUUCAUUUUCGGAUUGUUAGUUUUGACAGCAAGUGCCUGGGUUGUGUCUAUAUUCAGCGGGAGUUUUGUAAACACUCGUAAUGUGUUCACCGUAACUCGUGUGUUAUUGGAGGUAUCUAAGUUGAAAACUAUGAUCGAUCACAAGCGGAUUAUAUAACGAGUUUUCGGUUGGCUCCAGAGAGGAAGUAGCUGAACACCGAUUAUCCAAGAGGGUUCGAGUCAGAUUGUUGCUUACGGGAGGAGGUAAGAGCUCAGAACUAAUGGGAGAUUUCUCCAUGGCAUUGGCUUUUGCACUCUAAAAUGGAGGAAAGCUCGGGAGGACGGAUACAUCUAGCACAAGUUCAAUGCUUUAAAUGAAGUUUAUAAAAUUAACGAUUUAAGUUUUUAUGAUGAAAAUACAUUAUUCAAAAAAGGUGAAAUAUGUUCAUUACCCUGUGUGAAGAACGCGAGUAUGGAAGGAUUCUACUAUAAAAAAUAAGGGUGGGCAUAAAAAUCAUGGAACCGUGAAACCGAAUCGAACCACAACAAAAGAGACCAUAAAAUACAGUGUUGACAAAAAAAAAUAAUAAAUAAGUCAACUUAGGUUAUAGAACCGGACUGAAUCGUUCAUACCAAUUUCGAUUCUAGUUUUCACCUUAGAAGAACCGGCCAAACCAAAAUGAACGGCGAUUUUAAAUAAUUAAUCAAAAUUUAUUAGUUGUAUACAAGCGUCAUUAGAUAAGUGGUAAAAAACAAAUUGGUUUCACGUACUGCAACUGCACUUAAUCAUUUCUCAAUUAGGUUUUGUGUUCUUUCUUUUGAUCGAAUCGUCAUUCCUUAGUGCCUCGCUCGUUUGAUCCUCCUCCUCCAGUCCUUCCUCUCAUGAUAUUGGAAUCAAUUGUAGCAAUGCAAAUGGGCAUUCAAGGCCAGAUAAUUUAUUCCCUUCUGUGAUUUUUAUAUGGCAUUUGACUUGGUCUUGUACGUUGUGCUCUCAAAAAUUUAAUCAUGCCAUCAUGACGUAUUUCAACCAGUUACCACUUCUUGGUUCUUGGUUUUCUUACAAAGUCGGACUCAUAUUCGUUAUUUGGGCUGCAAGUAAUAAAUGCCCAAGUCUCCUCUGGAUCUCCCAAAAAAAAUAUCUAUCGUUAAAAGGAUAAACUCUAGACUAAUAAUACCAUAACUUUAACUAUUUAAUUAUUGAAUCAAUUGAUACUUUUAACAAUAAAUUAAAAAGGUGUUUCAAAGUUUUGACCUUGAGUAAGGACUUACUGAUCACUACUUUUUUCGUUAUUGAUACCAGCGUUUGUUUAUACAUUUUGUGUGUAUGAAUAUUUUUUUUAAAUGAGAAGGAGAGAGAGAGAGGUUUUUGUUUUUGGUUUUAUUUUUUAUUUAUUUUAAAUAUUACAAAUACUUUAACAUAACCUGUGAGGUUUCAAUAAAAACAGUAAAAUUUAGACCUAUGAAAUUACAUUAUUGCUCAUUAUUUAUUUUUUUUUAUGAUAGAAGACUAAAUAGUAUUUUCACCCUCUUUUGAUUGACAAAGGGAGUUAUAUUAACUAAUAGAAAUGCAGUAAUGAUAACUCGUCCUCCUUCAAAGUAACAUGGUGCGAAUUGGUCGACGAGCGGGUUAGGGGUGGCUGUCGAGAUGAUGGGGUGAUUGACUUUUUGUGAGUUUAUUUGUAUUUCUUUAAUUUUUAUUAUAAGAAAAGGAUAAAUUGCAUUUUGCACCCUUAAAUUUUAGUGAGAUUGCAUCAUCAUAUAAUAACUUUAAAAUAUUUCAAUCUCAUAUAUUUACUUAUCAUUUAUUUCAAUUUUAAACGUUCGUUAAAAAAUCUAUUAAGUUAACAGUUAAGUGAUGAUGUGGCAAAUAUAGAGUCCUUGAAAAGAAGACAAAAGGAAAAAAAAAGAAUAAAGCUUUAGUUAACGUUCCAUUAAAAGAUAGGCUUUUUAAUCAAAAUAGUCCUUGAGAUUUGCAUAACACAUCACUUUGGUCCAUAAGAUUUGAAAUCAAUAGAAGUGGUCCUUGAGAUUGUCCACUAUCAAUCAUUUUGGUUCUUAUGUGCAAAAUUAUGUUAAAUAAGGAUCAAAAUGAUAAAUAUACCUUCAAUUUAAUAAACAAUGGGCCAAAAUGAUUUGACAAAAUUAAGAGUAUUUUUUCAUUAUAUUCUUAUUUAAUGAAGAUUUUUAAAAAAAUGACCAAAAUGAUUGAUGAUGGACAAACUCAAGGACCAAUUCUAUUGAUUUCAAAUCUCAAUGAUCAAAGUAAGGAGUAAGGAGUUAUUAAAUCUCAGUAACCAUUUUAGAUAAAAAGCCUAAAAAAUAUCUAAUGGCUGAGCAUGUGAAUCCUCAUUUUUUACCUUCACCUGAAGAACCUAAAUAUUAUAAGAUUUAAUUUAAUUCAAGUCCAAUUUGAGAGUCAAUAUUAAGAAUAGUCCAUUUCUCGUGAUCUUUGACAUAAGUUCAUUCCACGUCAUCUAUUAUAUAUAAAGAGAGAAGAAAAGGUGAAUAGUAUUUUGGUGUCACCAAGCUUCAACAAAAGAAAGGGACAAAAAUGCCCCAUAAACAAAAAACUUCAAAGGCAUCCCAAAAUAAUGCAUCAAAUAAGGUAGGGGCAUUUUUGUUAUUUUAAUAGUAUUUUUUUAAUAAUUAAAUUAUUUUGUGGUUUUUUUUUAAUUAUUACCUCACAAUAGGCUACCAAUUAUUUGAUUCAAUUUAUCUAUUUCUAAACAAGACGUGUAAUGCCGAUUAUAAAAAGGAUAUUUCACACGUGGAUAAUAAUGUGAUUAAAUUAGUUGUCAAAUGAUUGUUUUUUUUGUUGUUGUAACAAAUGAUAUUAUCUAUACUAAGGGGGAGGAAUGUGAGUUUAGCCUCACAAUGGGCUAGCAACAAUGUGAUUCAAUCAGUUGUUUAUUAAAUAUUAUUUUAUCUAUUUUAAACACGUUCAAAAAAUCUUAAGAGGCUUGUAAUGCCGGUUAUAAAAAAAGUCUUUCGCACUCGUAUAAUAAUUUGAUUAAAUUAUUUGUUAAAUGAUUAUUUUUUUUAUUAACAAACGAUAUUAUCUACAUUAAGAGGAAUGAGGUGGGCUUAGCCUCACAAUGGGCUAGCAAUAAUGUGAUUCAAUCAAUUGUUUAUUAAAUAUUAUUUUCUCUAUUCUUAAUGUAAAAUUUAUAGAGAUCGAUUUUAUUAUGUGAAUUCAACUGCUUUAAUUGGUUUAUGAGGGGUUUCUUCUAGCAUGAUAUAAGAUUAUUCAUUUACUUCAAAUAUUUGACUUUCCUUUUGUCAAUUUACACACAUAUAUACAUUUAAAACGUAUAAGUCGCGCAUAGCACGUUGUGAUUCAAAAAAUAUCUUCUGCACGUUCGUGAGCGCAUGCAUAGAAGCUAGUUUUUAUUAUCUUUUAAAUUGUUAAUCUUUAUUUCAAUUUGGCCCUUAUAUUUUAAAUUAUCUCUACUCCUUUUUUCAAGGAUUUUUACUUCUCUUUUUAAAUAUCCAUUGCUAGUUUGAAUUUCUCCCUUUUGAAUUCCAAAAAGAUGGGCAUCCGCCCAUUUUCAACCUGCACACGAAAUCAAACACAUAGACAAAGUAAGUAACACUAAUGACAUGUUUACGUAAGGGUAAUCGGAAUAAAGAAAGGGAAUUGAAUUCCGAUUACGGAGUAUUCCGGUGUUUACUAAAUAUUAAGGAAUCAAAAAAGUGGUGGAGCCCACACGAAACAAGGAAUCCAAUUCCUGAAAUUGGAGGAACCGGAUUCCCUAGUUUUGUGAGGUAUUUGAAUUCCCUAAGGGCAAGGGAAUCAGGAAUGCAUCUUUUAUUCCAAUUAUGCCCUCACUUGUUUCUUAUUAUCCCAACAUUGCCUUUCAUUUGACACUCAUUAUGUCAUUUUUAAUAAAUAAAUAAAACCUAUUUAUAUUUUUUUAUAUAGAUAAUUUUAUUAUAUAAAUUUAAUUAAGAAUUUAAUUUAAUUAAUUAGUAUGAAAAUAAUUUAUUUAUGUAAGGGCAAUUUAAGAGGUUGCACUUGGUGCGAUGGCAAGUGCCUUCGCCCAUGAGCGGUAGGUCUCGGGUUCGAGACUUGGGAGCAGCCUCUCCAUAAAAUGGGGGUAAGGCUAGCCGACAUUCAUCUCUUCCAGACCAUGCGUAAAGCGGGAGUCUUGUGCACUGGGUACGACCUUUUAUGUAAGGGCAAUUUAGUCAUCAACUUAGUUUUCAUUCCGAUUGAAGUGAAUUAGUAAACAACUUAUAUAGACUCAAUAUCAUUUUUGCCAUCUUUUAAUAAAUAAAUAAAACCUAUUUAUACAUGCUUAUAUAGAUGAAUUUUAUUAUAUAAAUUUAAUUAAGAAUUUAAUUAAAUUAAUUAGUAUGAAAAUAAUUUAUUUAUGUAAGGGCAAUAUAGUAAUCAACCUAGUUUUCAUUCCGAUUGAAAUGAAUUAGUAAACAACUUAUAUGGACUCAACAUCAUUCCUACUCCGAUUCCUGACAGUUUUAGUAAACAACUUCAACAGGAAUCUGAUUCUGAUUCCACCUCAUUUCAAUUCCUCCUCAAUCCAAUUCCCCCUCAAUCUAAUUCCUCUCAAUUUGAUUACGGAUUAGUAAACACGCCAUAAAAUUUGUUGACGUAGGGUGUGUGGUCCAGGUAGUCGUAGUACAUUGGAUCACAUCCAUCACGUGCCAACGAAAACGGAUCUCUAUUGAAAUGCCGCAAUAUUAUAUGAAAAAUGUUAAGAAGAUUUUGUUGACGUAGGGUGUGUGGUCCAGGUAGUACAUUGGAUCACAUCCAUCACGUGCCAACGAAAACGGAUCUCUAUUGAAAUGCCGCAAUAUUAUAUGAAAAAUGUUAAGAAGAUUUUUUUUAAAAUGAAAUUAUAUAUAAAUUUCUGUUACUUCAUAAUUUAACGUUAAUUUUUGUGCAAAUAUUAUAGAACAUUGUGCAAAAAAUGAUGGGUUAAAAAGUUCACACAAAGUCACACUUUACGAGAAUAUUCUUAACAUUUUUUUAUGUUAUAUUGUACACAAACUAGAAAAUAUUAUAUAAGUUUAAAUAAUAAAGAUAAAGCCACGUACAGCCCUCGAAGAAAUAUCACACUUUUCACUAAUCAGCUUGAUGCUCCUUAAGUACUCAUGAGUUUUUUUGUUAUUGUUUUUUUACUAAUAAGUUUAUAAUAAUAAAAAUACCAAAUUAUAUUGUCAGACAACGUUGAAUAUGUAGGUUCAUAUGUUAAUUAUUUGAGGGGUUCUUUUAGGGCCAAUAAAAUAUAAGCAACGCCAACUUCGAAAAGGAACUACAAAAGAAACAACUUGUGAUGAUUACAAGAAUGACUCUGCACUUAAAACUACCAACGAAGUCAUUAAUUGUGUAUGUACCAUACUUCACCAAUCCCGAAACUACUGAGUACCGGUCAACGUUAUACCGUCAAUGACCCAGAAGAAUUUCCCUCCAACCAGGAAGCCAAUCGUAGCACGACACGUGUCGACAUCAGAAGCCAAUCAUAGCGCGACAAUGUCAACAUCAGAAGGCAAUCAUAACACGACAUGUGUCAAUGUCAGAAUGAAACUAGAAAGUCUCUUCUAUAAAUAUAGAUCAUUCUUUCACAAUAUUUCAUAAUGUCAUUUGUACUAAAUCAUUCACUUGUACUCACUAAAUGAGAGCUUGAACCUAUGUACUUGUGUAAAUCAUUUGCAAUUAAUGAGAACUCCUCUACUCCGUGGACGUAGCCAAUCUGGGUGAACCAUGUACAUCUUGUUUUUGCUUCUCUAUCUCUAUCCAUUUACAUACUUAUCCAUACUAGUGACCAGAGCAAUCUAGCGAAGGUCACAAACUUAACACUUUCUGUUGUACCAAAGUCCUCACUUAUUUUGUGCAUUAACAAAUUGCAUUAUGAUAAAUUGUACCAACGUCACCAUGAGACAUGAAAGAAAGACUCAAGCUCAAAAAGAAAAAUCUAACAUGGACGAAAGUCGCACUAUCUAUUAUAUAUCAAGCGAAUAGGGCAAUGAAUAGUGCCAAUUUGGUGUCACAGCUUUGACAAAAUAUUAGGACAAAAUUGCCCCUCAACCAAAACAAAUCCAAAAACAGCCCAAUAUAAUAUAUCAAAUAAUGCAGGGGUAAUUUGGUCAUCAUAAAAUAUAAUAUAAAUAUAAGUGGGAAGAGAGAAAAGAAUAAAAAAAAUAAAAAGAUGAGUAAAAGUUGAUGGUGCCCUCGUAAGGGGGAAAGAAAAAUAUAAUUAAAAGGAAAAUCAUGAAUAUUUUGUUCAAAACAUCUUACGAGGCGCGUAGUGCCAGUGAUAAAUUAGUACAUUUAAAAAAAAAAAUUAGUACCUUAUAAUAUGGGUGGGCACGAGCCGGGCCGGGUAUCACAAAUAUGAUCACUGAAACCGGACCUAACUCGGCAAAUUUGAUCACUGGAACCAGACCUAACUCGGCCCGUUUGAAAUGGCCCGGUUCGGGAUGGGUCCACGGGUCAUUUUUUCCGGUUUUGAACCCCUCCCGAACUCGCCAUCAUCCAGAAUCCUAGAUCCUAUAUCUUCGACUCUGAUACCAGAACCAAAACCUAAUUGUUUUAAAACCUCAAUUCUCAAACCAAACAAACAAACAAAAAAAAUCAAAAAAUUAGAAGGUUGGGGGAGAGAGAGAUCAAGAGGGAGGAGGUUGAGAAUCGACAAAUCCAAGGUGUGAGAAAUCGGAGACAUAUGCGUUGGGAGAGAGAGAGAGACUAGGGGAGAGAGAGAUCGAGAUGGAUGAGGUUGAGAAUCGACAGAUCCAAGGUGUGAGAAAUCGGAGACACAUGCAUUGGGAGAGAGAGAGAGAUUGGGGGGGAGAGAGAUCGAGAUGGAGGAGGUUGAGAAUCCACGUAUCCAAUGUGAAAUCGAAGACAAAGGUGUCGGGAGAGAGACUGGGGGAGUGAGAGAGGGAGGAGACUGGGUAGAGGAGAGUGACGAGAGCAUUCGAGAAGGUGUGAGACACUGGUGGAGGUUGCGGUGGGGUGUGGGUGUGGUGUGUCUGCUUCGGGAAUGAGAGUUGCAGAGAUAUGUGUGGUAAAGGUAGGAGAGGCAUGGAGAGUUGCAGAGAUGGGAGAGGAAUGAAGAGUUGCAAAUAUGGGAGAGAAUGAUCAAGAUAAGAGAGAGUGAGUGAGCCAAGGUGACAAUGUUCUCGAGAUUGAGAACUGUCACGGGAUGCCUGGGAGACAGUAAUCUUUUCAAAAUUGGGAUGUUACACAAACGGGACCCCGGGUACCCAUUUUUUUUAUAAUUUUGGACUCAGCCCACCCCUAAAAUUCUAAAGCCCUGCCCUGCCCCGCCCCGUUUCUCUUUUUAAAAAUUAAGAACCAUCCCGUACCCGCCUCGACCCGCGGUUCCUGUACCCGUUUGCCCACCCCUACCUUAUAAUAGACUAGCAAUAAUGUGAUUCAAUCAGAUGUUGUGAAUAGUGAUUUUGGUGUCACCAAACUUCAACAAAAAUAUUUAGACAAGAUAAAAAAACUUCAAAGACAUCCCAAAAUAAUGCAUCAAAUAAGGCAGUUUCGUCAUUUUAAUAGUGAUUCACAAUAAGCUAGCAAUAAUGUAAUUUAAUUUCUCUAUUUUUAAACACGUUCAAAACAUUUUAAGAGGCGUGUAAUGCCGGUUAUAAAAAAGGCAUUUCACAUGCGGAUAAUAAUAUGAUUAAAUAAGUUGUCAAAUGAUUGUUUUUUUUUUCUUUUCAACAAACAAUAUUAUCUAUACUAAAGGAAGGGGGUGGGCUUAGCCUCACAAUGAGUUAACAAUAAUGUGAUUCAAUCAGUUGUUUAUUCAAUAUUAUUUUCUCUAUUUUUAAACACUUUCAAAACAUUGUAAGAAGCGUGUAAUGCCGGUUAUAAAAAAAGUCUUUCGCACGCGGAUAAUAAUGUGAUUAAAUUAAUUGUCAAAUGACUGUUUUUUUUUUUUUUUUUUACAAACGAUAUUAUCUACACUAAGGGGGAAGAGGGUAGGCUUAGUCUCACAAUGGGCUAGUAAUAAUGUAAUUCAAUCAAUUAUUUAUUAAAUAUUAUUUUCUCUAUUCUUAAUGUAAAUUCUAUAGAGACCGAUUUUAUUAUGUGAAUUCAGUUGCUUAAUUGAUUUAUGAGGGAUUUCUUCUAGCAUGAUCUAAAAGUAUUCAUUUACUUCAAAUAUUUGACUUUCCUUUUGUCAAUUUACACAUAUAAAUACAUUUAAAACGUAUAAGUCGAGCAUAGCACGUUGUGAUUCAAUGAAGGCUAGUAAUCUAUAAAACCCACAUCAUAAAAAUUCAACUUCAUCUCUUGCCAAACCCACACUACUCAAAACAACCACAGAUUGAAGAUUUUGAUAGAAAAAUUGGAUUGAAAAAGGAUAAAAAAAUAAUUGAUAGAGAACUCAAAAAUAAGCAAGCUUAAGCACGAACUUAAUCACCACAAAAGGGACUAAAAAAAUUAGUAUGUCAUCAAUGUGUGAUAAAAAAAAUCACUUGGUGGCUUAACCACAACAGUUUACCUUUUUGAGGACCAAAAAGACUUACAGAGUCACUUCAGCAUCUCUUUAACCAAUAUUGUGUGAUUUAUACGUUUCAAGAAUCUAUCUCAAAACAUACCGCAAAUAAAAUAUGAGUCUGAAAUACAUUUUUAAUCAGUGGGUCAUCCCGAAGCAGUUAUAGACCAUUAUUCAAUGUAUAAAAAUCACAAGUGCUAGACCAAUUCCAGGGCAGAGUUUUUUUGUAAGGUUAUUUUCGUUGGACCAGACCAAUUCCAGGGCAGAGUUUUUUUGUAAGUUAUUUUCGUUGGACCAGACCAAUUCCAGGGCAGAGUUUUUUUGUAAGGUUAUUUUCGUUGGACCAAUGAUAUUAAAAUUAUGCAUAGAUCACACAGAAGACAAUCCUAUCUUACUUGCAAGUUGCAUCGAACAGACAAGUAAAGGGUCCAAACCAACCAUGUCAUAAAUAAUCAAGUUCUUCAUAAUGGAUUUGGAUCCUCUCCUGAACUAAUGGAGGGGAUCCUCCUGACUAGUUAUUAUGGGCCAUUAGAUUUUUAUCCAACGGCUAUAAAUAGAGAAGCCACUUUAAAGUUAUAAUAAUUAUAACCGUUAGAUUUUUAUUUAAUGGUUCAUGAUAACUGGUCAGGAGGAUCCUCUCCAUUAUCUCCAGAGAGGAUCCAAAUCCCUUCAGAAUAACCAAAUUCGUCGAGAAAAACGUGGGACCGUGCAAUUUAACGACUUGAUCGUUCUUUAAUAAAUUGUAUAUAGACAAUAAAAUAUUAUGGGAUAAGUUUAAAUAAUAAGUAUAAAGCCAUCUCGAAAGUCGUCGAAGAAAUAUCACACUAUUCACGAAUCAGCUUGAUUGCUCCUUAAUUCAACAUUUGACUAAUGAGUUUAUAAUAUUAAAAAUAAUAAAUUAUAAUAUCAGACAACGUGGCAUAUGCGGGAUCAUAUGUUAAUUAUUUGAGGUUUCUUUGAGGGUGACCCAACUUGUUAUAAAAAUCACAAGCGCUAGAUCAAUUCCAGUUUAGAGUGUUUUUUGUAAGGUCAUUUUCUUGGGGGUAGUGAUAUUAAAUUACAUGGAAGACAACCUCAUCUACUUGUAAGUUGCAACGAACAGACAAGGAAGGGUUGAAUGUCUCAUUUUUCUAUCUUUAAUCAACCACGUCACUCUUAAUUAAAUAGAAAAGUAAUCAAUCACGUAAUUGACGAGUGAGAAAAGUCUUCCAAAAACUACAUAAUGUAGCACCAAUAUGAAUAAUUGCUAUAAAAAAAAAGCACAAAUGAAGCAACCUUAGGAGAACACCAAAGCAGCAGUUGCUGCCUUUUCCAAAUGGUUCCCCCGUUCUUCUAAAAAAAACUCUUAAACUACCAAGGUUUUGUUUUCAUGUGGUAGAAACAUGGAAACUCGUAAAUAACUAAUUAUUUAUAUUAUUACACGUAUUAAUUAUGUUUAAAAGAUAAAAUUAAAUAUAUGCGGGUCGGUUUGGUUAAUUGCACCCUAAGAAUUUUGAUAAUCGAUUAAGGUCAGUGCAGUUUGGUUUAGCCAUCGAAUUUUUUUUUUUAAAAGCCCAAACCAAACCAAACCGCCAGUGCAAUUUGGGCGGUUUAGUUGGUUUUUUAUUUUUUUAAUGCCCAGCCCUAUGUUCUACGUAGAACCCGACAUAAUUUUUUCUCUCAAUAACUAAGAUCCACAUAAGCAAAUUCAUCAAUUAUACUUUACUUAAAAUUUUUUUUUUACAUUUUCAAAUGCUUCAAAUAUUCCUAUUGCAUGUUUGAUGUACACAAUUAAUUCUAUAUGGGCUCUUUUAGGUUUGAUUAUCAUCAAAGAUAAAUUUGAAUCAUAUUAUUACAAACCCAUUGUAAGGCUUAGCUCACUCCCCCACCCUUUUAAUGUAGAUAAUAUUGUUUGCUUAAAAACAAAACAACAAUCUAUCUUUUACCUUUUAGUUGGUCAUAAUUUUUUCAUUUCACCCCUCAACAUACCUCAGAGAUAAAAAGUUACCUAUUUCAAUACAAUCAUACGUACUAAACGAUCCCAUAUUACUCCUAUAUAUACGUGUGUGUAUGACAAGGCGAUAAAUCAACUUAAGCCUUUGCCCAGUUCAUUGCUCAGUUCAGUAAAAAUCAUUUUGUCUCUAGCUUUCUAAUUAUUGAGUUGCAAAAAUGGAUUCUCUCCCAUAUGUAAACUCUAUCACUGCUGGCUUGUUCACAGUAAUCAUCGUGUUCUAUUACUUGUCACGAAGAUGGAGAGCUGCAAAUCACAAGCGCAAAUUAUCACCACCUGAAGCCAAGGGCGGUUGGCCUAUAUUUGGUCACCUUCCUUUGUUUGGAGGCUCCAUACCUCCUCACUUAACUUUGGGAGCCAUGGCGGACAAGUACGGACCCAUUUUCACUAUCCGCCUUGGCGUCCAUCCGUCGUUGGUGAUAAGCAGCAGUGAGAUCGCAAAAGAAUGCUUCACAACCAAAGACUUGAGCAUAAUCUCACGCCCAAGGAUGGUGGUUCUAGACCACGUUAGCUACGACUACGCCAUGUUUGGGUUCGGACCAGGUGGACCCUUUUGGCGAGAAAUUCGCAAGCUAGUCACCUUGGAGUUGCUCUCAGUCCGGAAGGUUGAGCUGCUCAAGCACAUUCGAGUGUCGGAAGUGGCUACUUUCUUAAAAGAAUUGCACGAACUUUGGAGUACAAAGAAAAAGGAGGGCUCGAAAGAUGGAGUGGUUGUAGAGCUAAAGCAAUGGCUUGGGGACAUGACGCUGAACGUGAUUCUUACAAUGGUGGCCGGAAAGCGGUAUUCCGUGGCUGCCGCUGGGGAUGAGAAGAAAGAAGCGCGUAAGGUUCAGACUGCAUUGAGGGAGUUAUUUGAUUAUCUGGGCAUGUUUUUGCUGGGUGAUGCGGUUCCUUAUCUGCGGUGGUUGGAUUGGGGUGGACAUGAGAAGGCAAUGAAGAAAAGUGCAACGGA
RNAcentral lists this long non-coding RNA (72637 nucleotides) under Malus domestica (apple). Its description in RNAcentral is "long non-coding RNA (MDOM_LNC014443)". Lineage: Eukaryota; Viridiplantae; Streptophyta; Magnoliopsida; Rosales; Rosaceae. The record is from RNAcentral.